UUUGAGUACGUUUAAUAAAUAAAUAAACAAAUGCAGUAGGUCAGUAAAUCUUUUUCUAGUCAAAUAUAUAGUUAGAAUCAUAUAAUGAUUAGGUAUUAAUGUUAGUAUAGUAAUUUCCGUUAUAUUUUUUGUUACCAUGAACAGAUGGAGUAUACAUAUCUUGCUUCUAGCGAAUUCAUUGAUGAGUUCAUCGAACCUAUACUGGAUCAGAUUGUGGUGGUAAUGCUACAUUGAUAUGCUUUGAGUUUGAGUAAUUAUUAUCAGUGUUAUCGUGUAAUACAUGCAUAUGUGAGUGGUUGCUGCUGUGAGUGUGAGUGUAUUCUUCUAUAUAUUUAAGACUGAGAUUAUGAUUUUAGAAAUGUUGUAUUACUAUUGUAAGGAAUUGUCUGUUGGGAAAAUAUGCUCUUUAAAAGCAUAUGUGUUUAUUUAAUUGUAAUAAACAAUUUUUCUGAUUAAUAAAAUAAAUGAGGUAUUUUAUUCAAAUAUCUUAAUUGCAUUAAUAUUUGUAUUAAAGUCCAUUUAAUCAUAUUAUAUGUAUUUAUGUGAUCACCAUGUGGAUUCACAGAAGACAUAAAUACAAGUUAUCUUAUGAUUAAAUAAAUUUAGUUCGCAGUUGAUAAAUAAAGUUGGGCACUUUAUUUAGGUAUAGACUGUAAUAAAUUCAUUGAAUGAUUUGUCUUAAUCAUGUAUGAAUUUAUUGAUGUAGUACGACUACAUUGAACAGGAUCACAUAUGAGAUUUAAUUAACUUUGUAAUAACUGUCAGACUUAUUAAAUCUCAUAGGCGUUGAUUUUACUGUAAUCUUAAUCUUGAGUUAAUUAUGAUUUCAUGAUUGUGAUUGUUAUUUCAUUUGAGUUACCAAUGGGCACGACACAUCCUUGUGGUCAAGAUUACCCGGUAUCUUGGUGGGAGCAAUUAUGAGUAUUGGAGUUAUGGAUUAACAAUAUAGAAUUUGUACAACACAUCUCUUGAUAGGUUUUCGGUACUUGAUCAUAGAAUUCUCUGGCCAGAGUGUGUCAACAUAUUUAGUAUGUUGAAAAUGAUCAUUAGAGAAAACCAGUAAGGAUCAAGGAAUAAGAUGUUAUUAAAUUGAUUGGACAGUUGAGAUAUCAAUUUAAUUAACGAUGUGGUACAAAGGAUUGUGCAGUAAAGAAAUCAAUGUGGCUUGGGACGAAUUAUUAUUCGAGCAUACAAUUAUGGAAGUCAGUUCCAAUCUUUUAGUGGAGUAGAUUUGGAAUUAAAUAAUUGGGCUAGUUUAAUUACAGGCCUAAUUAUUGUAGCCACUAUUGUAUGUUCCCAAAUGAUCCCCGGGUUAGCUCAUUUAAUUGAUUGCACCACUGCUGGACUAAUAAGCAAGAUAACUAGCUAUUUGGGUCAAAAGCCUAAAUAUAUCAUUUAGUGGGAGGCUCCAUUUAAUAAGCUUAUGUGUAAGGGGCCUUAUGUUAUUUUACAUGGUGGGUCCCCUAUUAAAUGAAAAGUAACGUGAGUUUUAUUUUGGGGGAAUCCUUGGAACCUAGGGUUUUCACUAAAGGGAGAUAUAUAAGGCUUAUUUUCCCAAAAAGGAGAAAGGGAAGCCACUUUAUACAAAUCAGAGAAUAAGAUUUUUCUCUCCAUUGUUGAGAGAAAAAUUUUCUCGUGCUAGUUGCUUUGGUAGUGAUAAAGGCGCCCACACGUCAAGUGCAGAUCGAACCUGAGUCAUAACCUGGAAGAUCAUUGGAGACAGUUCGUGAUCUAACAAGCGUGGUGGUGACGGAUCGUGAUCUAACAGGAGUGGUGGUGGCGGAUCGUGAUCUAGGAGCCUAAAUCACUUCAGUGGAAAAAGCAAACUCAGAUUUACAAGGUACGAUUUCUAGAAUACGAAUUCUUAUAUAUUAUAUGAGAGCGAUCUUCAAAAGGUUUUAUAAAAAUUUAAAAACCUGAUUUUUCCCCAACAAUUGGUAUCAGAGCCAUCUCAUAUUAAUAUAUAAGAAUUUCGUAUGAAAUUAAUCUUGAAAUUUAUGUAUUAGAGUGGCACAAUUUAUUCAGAUGUAUAUUAUUUAUUUAAUAUAUGAAUAAAGCAUGCUUAUGGUUUGUCUUAAUUCAUGGUUAGAUUUUCUUUUGUAUUGUUCUUUGGAUCUGUAACAAGAGGGGUGGUUUUUUAUCACCAUGUUUCCCUCUUGAUUUAUUUUACAGUUAUAGAAUUUUUGUAAGCCAAAAUUGGUCUAGGAAAUUUGUAAAUUAAUCUCAGAUUUUCAAGAUCGGAGCGACGGAGGCCGGAAAUUAUGACAGCGGCAGCAAACCAGGGCAUGCUGCAGCAGCGUGCGCGGCCAGCAAUGGCCAGCAUCGCGCGCUGCGCUGUGCGCAGCAAAGCAGCGCGCGCGGCCAACAUUGGCCAGCGGCGCGCGCUGCGCUGUGCGCAGCAAGCAGCGCGCGCGGCCAGCGUGGCCAGCAGCGCGCGCUGCAUGUGCUGCAGCUGGAAGCAACGCUGCCGAGGCCAGCAGAAAGUUGCGCGCGGGUUUUGGCACGUUUUCCGGCCAGGCGGCAGCAGUUGGUUUGGCGUCGGCGUCGGCGUCGGAGGUCGGCUGGCGUCUGAACAGUGAAGGAGGAUUUUGGAGAUGGCGGCUGGGGAAGAAGAAAGAAAGAAAAAUAUGGAUUUAGGGUUUCAUGGCUUUUAUCAUGGAGGUCCCUAUGGUUCCAUAAUUUUUUACUUGGGCAGUCAAGUUUUAAUUUUUUGCAUUUAAGUCUAAAAAUAGUUUUGGGCUUAAAGAAUCCUAGUUUUAGGCCCAAUUGAUAUUUGGGCUUAAUGGAUUAAAAAUGCAUAGACAAAAUUAAAUACAUUAAAUUUAUUUUUGGUCCAAAAGUUUUAUUUUAAUUAAAAAAAAUAAAAUAAAAAUAAAAUAAUUUAUUUAUUUAUUUCCUUUCAAAAUUAAAAUUGGACCAAUUAUAAAUUUAAAAGCUCAAUUUCCCAUAGUCCAUUAACAAAAACAAGCUUAUGGAAUAUGGACAUUGACAAGAAGCCCAAUGAAGAUUAGGCUUAGGGUUAAUGUAUUUUUCAUUAUUAGGAAAGCCAUGAAUUAAGAUUAUUUAAUAGUUUUUCUAUAUGUUAUGUUUUGGAUGAUAACAUGCCAUGAUAACAUGUCAUAUAGAAUAGGUAGUGCCACUCUAUGCAUAAUGAUACAUGUCAUUCAUUAAUAAUGAAUUUCAUUAUAUUGUUUGAAAUUUGUAUAUGCUUAAUAAUAUUUGAUAUCAUCUAGAUAAUAUUAUAGGAAGCAUGCAAUUAACAAUAUGUAUGUUUUAAAAAGGAAAAACCAAUUUUAAAAUAUUGAGUGGGAGAGGGAAAAUUCAAGAUAAUUUUCCCACGGGCUCCAUUGUUAGUUCAAUAAUAAAAUUAUAUAUAUACCUCGACUUCAUGAUACGGUGAUGCUCCCUUCGGAGGGUAUAUAUAUUAGAUAUUUUAUUUGAUGAACUUCUUCAAAGAUAAAAUUGAAAUAUUUUUCAAUCGAUUGUUCACCCCAACGGUGACUAUUGAUAUGAAAAAUACGUAGAUUGAAACAAUGGUUAUACACUCAACUAAAGUUUGUUAUUAACCUUCCCAACGAAGCUCUGUUAACAAAUUUAGGUCCAAAGGGAUAACGAUAAUUAUUUAUCAUGUCUCUACAUGAAAGUAAAUAAUCCAAUGGAUAAUUGAGUCUAGUAAGUGUAGACAUGACUUCCCCAACGGAUAGCUUGUCAAAGCGGUACUAGAUUAUCGUUACAAUAAAUUAAAAUGCAUUUAUGGUUUUUUGCAUUUUUGUCAUUUAUUGUGAAUAUUGUUUCAAAGUAUUUAUGCAUGUGUAUUUUAUUUUUUCAGAAAAUGUCUUCCAUCAACCCAUUAUUAUUUAUCCUUGUUAAAAAUGAACUCACUGGCGAAAAUUAUUUAGAUUGGAAACGCAAUCUAUUUAAUAUUCUCACUGCUAAGGGAAGCAAAUAUGUGUUGACCCAGCCUUGCCCUCCUGAACCAUCGUUAUACGAUUAUAGAAAUCAGAGGGAGCCUUAUGAGAAAUGGUGCGAAGCUAACAAAAUGGCUAAGCGCUAUAUAUUGGCUUCGAUUUCUGUGGAACUGCAUAAGAAACAUCGGAGCAUGGAAACAACCACUGAAAUAAUGGCUAGUCUUCAUCAGAUGUUUGGGCAAAAUACCCAUUUUGCCAGAGAAGCAGCAUUAAAACGUAUUACGGAUACUCAGAUGGAAGAGGGCACAAAAGUUCGUGAUCAUGUCCUCAAAAUGAUGGACUAUUUGAAUGAGGUAGAGAUUCAUGGUGUUCAAAUCAAUGAUAAAUCAAAGAUUAACAUGGUGAUUGAAUCUUUACCUGAUACAUUCAAAGAGUUUAAGGUCAGCUAUAUCUUAAACAAUAAAGAUAUGACCUUAAUUGAAUUAAUGCACGAACUACAUGCUAUAGAAGAAUUUUAUCAUAGCAGAAAACUUCCUGAAAAAGGAUUCUCUUCAAGGCUUAAGUCAAAAGACAAGAAUGAGCAAGCAAGAGUUGGGAUCGGCAAACUGUCCAUUAAAAGAAGUGGCAAGCCAAAAGGCAAGUGUUACAAAUGUGGACAGAAGGGUCACUGGAAGAAAGAUUGUCCUAAGAUUAUUAAAAUCAGGUAUAGGAAAUCUUUAAGCUUCCUAAUUAGUUCAGAUUUCUAUUGAUUCAUACAAUAAUGAAUUCUGAGAUAACUAAUCUUAUUUGUAAUUCAUUUAUUUGGUUUUCAGGAAACCAAGAGAUUAAGUGAAGAAAGCUUCAAAUAGCAGUUGAGGAUGUGCUAGUUUAUAUCAAUUGAAAGACUAGAUCAAUUUUACAAGACUUUAGUUUUGAUAUUUGUCUUUAUUUUUCCAAAUAUUAGAGGAAUUUAAUUUCAGUGGCUUGUUUUAAUAAACAGGAGUACACUGUUAUUUUUGGAUCCUCUGUUUAUUACUUAUUUUGGUUAUUUAUAAAGACAAUUUAUAUCAUAAAAGUACAUUGAUCUAUUCAAAGUAAGAUAUAAUGAUUAAAAGUAUAUGCAUUUAUCUAAGAAAAGAAAUGUUUCUUCUAACCAAAAAUCACCUCUGAUAGUUAUGCUUAAGUCAUAUAAACUAUAAUAAGAUUUUAAGAAAAUGAUUAAUGAUAGACUUGUUGGCCUAUUAAGAUUGAUCAUUGUAACUCUAUAAAUCUUAUUUAGAAAAGUAAUAUGACAAGGAUACUCUUUAUGAGCUAAAAGCAUAACAUUGUAUUUGAUGAUUUAGCGCAUACAAAUGUAUACGGACUAAUCAGUUUACAUGUUAUAAGAGGUUAUGAGUAUUCUAUCAAUCUAGUUGAUGAAUAUUCAUUUUAUGUUUGUCUAAAUGAGUCAUGAUUCCAUUGCUUUUGAAAUUCAAAAGAGUACGUGAAUAAGACAGAAGCAAUUAGACAGGAACAUAAAAGAAUUUCGAUAUGAUCGAAACAAAGAAUAUCUCUAUGGAGAAUUCAAGCACUAUUUGGUUGUCAAUGAACACUAUGAUACAAUAGUGUAAUUAAAUGGAGAAACAAGAUUCUUUUGGAUAAGACAAGAUAUAUACUAAGUGGUUUAUCAUUUACCUUUUUGAUUCCAGAUACUAGUAUUUGAAACUACAAAGUUUAUUGAACUUAGUUUCAUCUAUCUCGGUGUCCACUACUCCAAGAAAUUAUGAAAAAGUCACAAACAUGGUUUGAGACACAUUCGUAUUUGGAGUUUACUAGUAUUUCUACUAGAAUCAGAGAUAGAGAAGAUGGAUUCGUGUUCAGAAGCUUGCAUGUUUUAGGUAUCUUAAAGGAAUAAGGGAAAGUCUGAAUUAUAGUCCUCAAGAUAGGAAUGUAUUUAUAGAAAUAUUUUUUACUUUCUUUGAGGAAGACUAUAUAAUGACUUAUAACCUAAGAGUAAGGUAAAACUAGAGAAAUAAAAGAGAUCAGGUUGAUGCUCAGCUUUCAACACCUGUUAUAGAACAGGAAGAACAGCAACAACCAGCUGAUCAGCACAGGAUUAUCCUUGAACAACCAUCACUUUUAGAACCUCGUCGUAGUGGGAGGGUAACUAGGUUACCUGCAAGAUACAUGUUUUUGGGAGAAACCUAUAAGGCUAUCUCAGAUGAACAUGUACAAGAUCCCACUAGUUACAACGAAGCUCUAAUAGAUAGAGAUGAUGAAUUUUGAAAAAGGCCAUGAAUCAAGAAAUGGAAUCUAUGUAUUCCAAUAAAGUCUGGGAACUUGUAGAGGCACCAAAUGGGGUAAAACCUAUAGGGUGCAAGUGGAUCUACAAGAGAAAAAGAGGAGUAGACGGAAUGGUGGAAACAUUUAAAGCAAGAUUAGUAGCCGAAGGGUUUACUCAGAAAGAAGGAAUCAAUUAUGAGGAAACCUUUUCUCCGGUUGCUAUGCUUAAAUCCAUCAGGAUUCUGCUCUCCAUUGCUGCAGUGCUAGAUUAUGAAAUUUGGCAAAUGGAUGUCAAGACUGCCUUUCUUAACAGGCAUCUUGAAGAAAACAUCUACAUACAGCAACCAGAUGGAUUUAUACAAAAAAGGCCAAGAACACAUGGUAUGUAAGUUGCAGAGAUCUAUUUAUGGAUUGAAGCAAGCAUCCCAGUCAUGGAACAUCAGAUUUGAUCAAGCGAUUAAAUCACUUGGAUUCAUUCAGAACAUUGAUGAACCAUGUGUGUACAAGAAAAUUCAGGGAAAAUUUGUAGCCUUCCUAGUUCUUUGUGUAGACAAUAUUCUCCUGAUUGGAAACGAUAUAGGAGUAUUGACUACAAUAAAGAUUUGGUUAGCAAAACAAUUUGAUAUGAAAGACUUGGGAGAGACAAGUUAUAUUCUUGGUAUCAAGUUACUAUGAGACCGGAAGAAUAAAACUUUAGCCUUGUCUCAAGCGGUCUAUAUCGAUAAGAUAUUGGCUAGAUUUAGUAUGGAAAAUUCCAAGACUGGUUUAUUACCAUUCAGACAUGGAAUUACAUUCUCUAAGGAUCAAUCACCUAAAACAUCUGAAGAGAUAGAGAGAAUGAGACGAGUUCCCUAUGCAGAAGCUGUGGGAAGUCUCAUGAAUGCCAUGCUUUGCACUAGGCCAGACAUCUGUUUUGCGGUAGGGAUGGUUAGUAGAUAUCAAUCUAAUCCUGGACCUGAACACUGGACUGUGGUCAAGCAUAUAAUGAAGUAUCUGAAAAGAACUUAAAAUUAUAUGCUUGUGUAUUCUGGUGAUGAACUUAUUCUAGUGGGUUAUACUAAUUCUGAUUUUUUGUCAGAUAAGGAUUUUAGAAAAUCAACUUCCGGCUAUGUGUUUACAUUGGGAAGUGGAGCUACUAGUUGGAUGAGUGUGAAACAAUCUUGUAUCACAGACUCAACAACUAAAGCUGAAUAUGUGGCUACAUCUGAAGCUGCAAAAGAAGCUAUAUGGCUCUGCAAGUUCCUACGAAAUCUUGAGGUGGUACCUGUUGUAACUGCACCCCUUAAACUAUUUUGUGAUAAUGGUGGUGCGGUAGCUCAAUCUAAGGAACCAAGGAACCACAAGAAACAAAACAUAUUGAAAGGAAGUAUCAUCUUAUAAGGGAAUAGUGUAGAAAGGUUAUAUGACAGUACCCCAAAUGGCAUUAGAUGCUAAAUGGCAGAUCUUAUUACAAUGGCCAUUAGUGGGAAACCUUUAUAACCUGCACUUAGAGCCCUAGAGCAUGUGCAAUAUGCCAGAUAUGCUUUGAGAGCUAGUGGGAGAUUGUUGGGAAAAUAUGCUCUUUAAAAGCAUAUGUGUUUAUUUAAUUGUAAUAAACAAUUUUUCUGAUUAAUAAAAUAAAUGAGGUAUUUUAUUCAAAUAUCUUAAUUGCAUUAAUAUUUGUAUUAAAGUCCAUUUAAUCAUAUUAUAUGUAUUUAUGUGAUCACCAUGUGGAUUCACAGAAGACAUAAAUACAAGUUAUCUUAUGAUUAAAUAAAUUUAGUUCGCAGUUGAUAAAUAAAGUUGGGCACUUUAUUUAUGUAUAGACUGUAAUAAAUUCAUUGAAUGAUUUGUCUUAAUCAUGUAUGAAUUUAUUGAUGUAGUACGACUACAUUGAACAGGAUCACAUAUGAGAUUUAAUUAACUUUGUAAUAACUGUCAGACUUAUUAAAUCUCAUAGGCGUUGAUUUUACUGUAAUCUUAAUCUUGAGUUAAUUAUGAUUUCAUGAUUGUGAUUGUUAUUUCAUUUGAGUUACCAAUGGGCACGACACAUCCUUGUGGUCAAGAUUACCCGGUAUCUUGGUGGGAGCAAUUAUGAGUAUUGGAGUUAUGGAUUAACAAUAUAGAAUUUGUACAACACAUCUCUUGAUAGGUUUUCGGUACUUGAUCAUAGAAUUCUCUGGCCAGAGUGUGUCAACAUAUUUAGUAUGUUGAAAAUGAUCAUUAGAGAAAACCAGUAAGGAUCAAGGAAUAAGAUGUUAUUAAAUUGAUUGGACAGUUGAGAUAUCAAUUUAAUUAACGAUGUGGUACAAAGGAUUGUGCAGUAAAGAAAUCAAUGUGGCUUGGGACGAAUUAUUAUUCGAGCAUACAAUUAUGGAAGUCAGUUCCAAUCUUUUAGUGGAGUAGAUUUGGAAUUAAAUAAUUGGGCUAGUUUAAUUACAGGCCUAAUUAUUGUAGCCACUAUUGUAUGUUCCCAAAUGAUCCCCGGGUUAGCUCAUUUAAUUGAUUGCACCACUGCUGGACUAAUAAGCAAGAUAACUAGCUAUUUGGGUCAAAAGCCUAAAUAUAUCAUUUAGUGGGAGGCUCCAUUUAAUAAGCUUAUGUGUAAGGGGCCUUAUGUUAUUUUACAUGGUGGGUCCCCUAUUAAAUGAAAAGUAACGUGAGUUUUAUUUUGGGGGAAUCCUUGGAACCUAGGGUUUUCACUAAAGGGAGAUAUAUAAGGCUUAUUUUCCCAAAAAGGAGAAAGGGAAGCCACUUUAUACAAAUCAGAGAAUAAGAUUUUUCUCUCCAUUGUUGAGAGAAAAAUUUUCUCGUGCUAGUUGCUUUGGUAGUGAUAAAGGCGCCCACACGUCAAGUGCAGAUCGAACCUGAGUCAUAACCUGGAAGAUCAUUGGAGACAGUUCGUGAUCUAACAAGCGUGGUGGUGACGGAUCGUGAUCUAACAGGAGUGGUGGUGGCGGAUCGUGAUCUAGGAGCCUAAAUCACUUCAGCGGAAAAAGCAAACUCAGAUUUACAAGGUACGAUUUCUAGAAUACGAAUUCUUAUAUAUUAUAUGAGAGCGAUCUUCAAAAGGUUUUAUAAAAAUUUAAAAACCUGAUUUUUCCCCAACAUUGUCAUCAUAUAAUAUUCAGUGUUUAAUAAUAAAAACUUGAAAUACAAGUGUGCAAUCUAAGAGGGGGGUGAAUUGGGAUUCUAAAAAUUAUUUGAUUCUAAAACAAAUUAUCAAGUAAAUCUAAAAUGAAUUUAAUGGAAUAACAAUUAAAUCAAUUACAAUAUGAAAAGAUAAGGGAAGAGAGAUUCAAACACGGAGAUUUUUACGUGGUUCGGCCAACUUCGCCUACGUCCACGCUUCCAAAUUUUCUGGACUUGAGGAUUUCACUAAACAAGCCUCCAAGGUUUCAAAUGCUUACACUUGACUUCCAAGGUUAAGGACAUAUUAUUUAGAGAUAGAAAAAGUAGGUACUUAUUUGCGAAAUCGUGUAAGAUUAGGAAUCUGAUACUAAUUUCUCAUUUUUCUUUUUCUUUUUUUUUUUAAACAUUUAUCUAAUCGUGCGCCUACUGUUGUUUUAUUUACCCUGAGGUACGCGCAUACUGCACUCGCGCCAUUAGAGUGUUCGGAAAACGCGGGGGUAUGUUGGGUAAUUUAGGCAGCAAUAUCCAAGCUAAGGAGAUAUUUUUGCUGAUGUGUCAGUUACAAUAGCGCGCGUUGUUGGCCUGCCCCUACGCGCAAAACUGUAGGGUCAGUUUUUAGGGGUCGAGGGAGUGGCGUUGACUGGAUUUUAUAACGGAUAUGGUCUUUGGGGCGCUAUAUAAGGGAAAAAUGUAUAUUUAGUGGGGUUUGAUGGUUUGGUUUCAUUUUCUAUUUUUUUACGCGAAGGAUCUGACGGCUAGCAUUAAAGAUGCAGAAUCUAUAAUUUGCUUUGGGAUUGGGGAGUUAAAACUUACUAAGGCACUCUAAUAUCCAUAGGAAAAAAAAAAAAAAGAUAAGUGGCAGUAGUUAGCGUUAAAAAAUACAGAGAAACUUUAUGAAAAAAAAAAAAGAAUGUAGGUGACUCUAAUGUUAGGAAAUUACAUGUGAUUUGAUUGAAUUAGCUUUUUUGGUUUUGUAAUUGCUUUAAGUUGCUCAAGGAAUGAUCCCGCAUAGGCUCACUCAUUAUAAUCUAUAUAUUCUAUCAAAGUGUUAGUUUUUGCGUGAAUUAAAGAGAAAGAGUGCUGGAAAUUUCAUUUUAUUUACUUUUCCAUGUCGUGGAUAAAUGAGAGCCGAAACAAUGUUAAGUCUCUUCACAAUAAAAGUAAUUUUCGUACAUCUUUUCCUUCAGCUUUAUGAUACGCAAUGCACAUGGUCCUUAGUCCCUACACUUGCCCCUUUAUUAAUUAUUGGUUGAGAAACUUGUGGGCCUUAAAUGAUCGCAUAUGUACUUUUUUCCUUCAUUAUCACCCUUUCGCACUAAGUAUCACAAUCGUAUAUUAAGGCAACAAAUAUAAUAAAAAAAAUAAAAAAAACCAUUAAAAGAAAUUGUAACCGCUACUCAUCAAUAAAAACCCAUCUUGGUUUGGUUGGAAGAAUUUCCGUAAAAAUACAGAUGGCAUUUGAUUUGAAUUUGAAAUGUAAAUUUAAUUAAGGAAACUAAUAAACAAGGAAAUACAAAUCCUCAAAUAAAUAAAUAAAUAAGGAAACACAAAUCUAUAUAUCUAUAUAAAGCUAGGACUUGAGGAGAUGAUGUGGCAUCACCAUUUUGCUUCUUUGUAUAUUCUCUAUUAUCUAAUAAAUAGAGAAUUUUUUUUAAGAUUUAGUUUUUCAUCUUCUCAUAAUUAAUUUGAUUGUAUUUAACUCAUUUAAUAAAUAGUAACUUUAUUAAUAUAUAUCAUUCAUCAUCUUUUUAUAUUUUGUCUAUUAUCUAAAAUAUCUAAAAUAUUGGUGGAUAUUCUUUGUACUUUUUUUCUCUUUCUAUUUAAAUUCAACAAUAUGUAAUCAUUAAUAAUAAUUAAUUAUAAGUCUUUUGAAACAUUUAUUUAUUUUAUUAUGCUAGCAAUUAAACUUUAGUGGCUUAAAAUACAUGAAUUAAUUAACAUAGGAAGAUAGGUUCUUUUAUUUUCCCUCAACAAUGCCACUAAGACCUAAUUUUAAUGCCAUAAUCUCAUAUUUAAUUAUACAACCUUUUGUUGAGUGUCUUUUGGCUUCUUCAAAAUUUAUUAUACUAUCAAUUAAACUUUAGUGCCUUAAAAUACAUCACCUAAUUAACAUAGGAAGAGAGGUUCUUUUAUCUUCCCUCAACCUCAUCUUUUUAUAUUCUCUAUUAUCUAAAAUAUUGGUGGAUAUUCUUUGUACAUAUUUCUUCUUCUUUCUAUUUAAAUUCAACAAUAUGUAACCAUUAAUAAUAAUUAAUUAUAAGUCUUUUGAAACAUAUAUUUAUUUUAUUAUGCUAGCAAUUAAACUUUAGUGGGUUAAAAUACAUGAAUUAAUUAACAUAGGAAGAGAGGUUCUUUCAUCUUCCCUCAACAAUGCCACUAGGGCCUAAUUUUAAUACCAUAAUCUCAUAUUUAAUUAUGCAACCUUUUGUUGAGUGCCUUUUGGCUUCUUCAAAUUUUAUUAUGCUAGCAAUUAAACUUUAGUGUCUUAAAAUACAUAAACUAAUCUAUCUAUAUAUAUCUAUAUUUAUAUCUAUCUAUAUAUAUAUAUAAAGCUGAGACUUGAGGAGGUGAUGUGGCAUCACCAUUUCUCAUCUUUGUAUAUUCUCUAUUAUCUAAUAAAUAGAGAAAUUUUCUUUUAGAUUUGGCUUUUCAUCUUUUCAUAAUUAAUUUGAUUGUUAUUACACAAUAACAAUUAUGUAAAGAUUUUAAUGAGACAUAUUUUUUGUAAUGAACAUCCAAAGGGGAGUGUUAUGAAUUAAUUAAAAUAAAUGUAGAUGUUUAUAACAUAUAUCUCUUAGUCUCCCCACUAUCUCCCAUUAGCAACAUUUACCUUCCCCCCCACUAUCUCCCAUUAGCAACAUUUACCUUCCUUAUAACUCCCACUAUCUCACAAGGAAUUAUGAUCCAUAAUUUUUCAUUAAUUUCAUGGAGUGAUUAUCUAUAUAUCUAUAUAAAGCUAGAACUUGAGGAGGUGAUGUGGCAUCACCAUUUUGCUUCUUUGUAUAUUCUCUAUUAUCUAAUAAAUAGAGAAUUUUUUUUAAGAUUUAGUUUUUCAUCUUCUCAUAAUUAAUUUGAUUGUAUUUAACUCAUUUAAUAAAUAGUAACUUUAUUAAUAUAUAUCAUUCAUCAUCUUUUUAUAUUUUGUCUAUUAUCUAAAAUAUCUAAAAUAUUGGUGGAUAUUUGAUUAGUAUUAAAAAUUGUUUAAUUAUCAAGCGAUAAUAUGUUAUUUUAUGCUUAUGUUAUAAUUUAUAUUUGUGUUUAUGUAAUAUAUUAUGAAUUAUUAAUUAUGUUUUAAAUAUAUUUAAUUUUGUGUAUUUUUAUGUGUUUAUUAGGAAAAUUAUUAAUUUCACGUACUUCGAGGCUCCAAACAGAUAAACGGAGGUCAAAUUUGGAUUCCGGAGGUCCGAAAACCUUAAGAUCAGUCAAGAUCGGCUUAAAAUUGGGCUUGUGUAAAAAAAGUUGACUUUUCCUGUUGACCGAGCACUGAUUGGAUGAUGAAAUGAGCUUACAAUAGAUAUGAGUGCAUGGGAUAACUGGCAAUCUUGACCAAAUCUCAACCGUUCAUGAUUCAAUGGCCAUGAUUGUGCCACGUGGCAAUGGUUGGUGAAGCAAGUUGGAGGAUCCGAAUCUUUGUAUUCGGGUCGACCCGAUCCACCCAUUAACCCGCCAAAUCUCAACCGUUCUUUGGGUAAAUCGGACGAGUCAAAUGAUGCCAUGUGUGAUGUUGACUUUUGAAGUUUGACCAGCCAUUGGAUCUUGAUCUAAGGGUUGUGAGGAGCACAUGCAUGAAGCCUAUGAUGGACCGCAAAGCACGGGAUUAUGAAUUUAUUUUUUCUAUAAAUAGGGCCUCAUUUUUAUGUUUUAAUCAUCUCUCUACAACUCUCUUCUUCUCAAAUUCUCUCCAUCUCCUUGUAAUCUUGAUUUCCAGGUGUGUUUUUAAUAUUUUGUAUAAUUAUUUUCAUUAAUAAAAUUAGUUUUAUUUCCAAUUUUAGUUGUUUUUAUUUCUUUUAAUUAUAAGUAAUUCAAUUUUACUACUUUUUUUUAUUUUAAUUAUGCUUAACUAAAUAAUAUUAGUUAGGGGAAGGUGAAACUCUUAAGAAAUAAAUAUGAUUUAAUCAAAUUCUAUGUUUAAUUUUAUAAAUUAAAUUAUUUUCUAUUUAAUUUUAUACAUGUUUUAUAUUUUGAAAAUUUGAUUUAUUGUAGACAAAUAAAUGAAUUUGGCACAAUAAAUUCUUAAGAUCUUAAUAUAAGGCAUGGUGAAAUGGUAUUUUGACUUAUUGUAGACAAAUUAAAUUUUGGCACAAUAAAUACUUAAUCCAUCAUAAAAUUAAAGGGAAAAUAAUAAUAAUUUGUAUAAUUAAUCUUUUGAGUAAUAAAUCUAAAACAAAUUGGCAAAAAGAAUUUAUUAAGUUUUAUUUGUUUCUAAGAGUGGAUCCAUAACCCUAACUAGUUCAAUUCCAUAGUUUCAUUUAAAUUAAGUUGUUUAUAUUCAAGUUUUAAUUUCAAUUUUUAGAUCAAAUAAAAUAAAUUAAUUAAAUCUUUUCUCUGUGGAUCGACCUCGGACUCACCGAGUUAUAAUACAACAAGACACUCUUAUACUUGGGAGUUAAAAUUUACUUUUAAGUUGUGUCAAGUUUUUGGCGCCGUUGCCGGGGAAAAGUUUUUUUUUUAUUUGGUUUGUUUUUCCGUUUUUUAUUUUUCUCUUAUAUGUAAAAUUUCGUUUGCCCCCUUUUCCUUUUCUUAAAUUCUCUUUUGUCCCCAUAUCUUUCAUAAUUCUCGUUUCACCCCAAAAAUUUCUGUUUCUAGCCCAAUCUUUUGGUAAUUACGUUCGGACCCCGACACUUUCAACUGUUUCACUUUCAUCCCAAAUUGUUAAUUCUAAACUUCUAAAAAUUACAGUUUGACCAUACAAUUAAAAAUAAUUGGCAAUAGAAUCCCUAGACGAAAUUCCUCAACAUAAUCAAGACUUGGACAUACUUGGACAUACUUUGGACAUAUUUUGGACAUAUUUUGGACUUAAUUUGGACAAAACUAACUUUAACUACUAACUCUAAUUACUAACUCUUAACUUACUAACUGCUAACUUCUAACUUUUUUUAAUUUCAGUUAUUUAAUUUUCUGCAUUUAUUUUAUUUCGCAUUUAUUUAUUUUUGCUUUAUUGGUGGGUUUAACCACCAAACUAACUACUAACUCUUAACUUUUAUUUUCAGUUAUUUAAUUUUCAGUAUUUAUUUAAUUUUGUAUUUUUUUUUUUAAUUGGUGGGUUCAACCACCAUUUUUUUUUUAUUUUUAUUUUUUUUUGCAUUUAUUUUAUACUUAAUUUAUUGUUAAUUGGUGGGUUCAACCACCAAAAUUGUUAUUUAAUUUUCUUUUGUAUACAUAUAUUAUUUGCUUAUUUAUUUUUUUUAUUUUGUUAUCACUUUGUGUAAAUAUUAUCUUUAUAACAUAACCCUUGCAUGAGACAUUGGUCUCGAUCUUCAAGUGGCAGGUUAAUUCGUAAAUCUCAAUCUCCACCACCAAUCAUGGAUGAGAAUGAAGGCGAAAACGUUUUGGGUGAACUUAAUCCUCAAAUUGAUCAGGGAGACAACCAAUCUCAACAUGGGCAUGAUCAGAAUCAACCAAGGACUCUGAGAGACUACAUGAAUCCAACCAGAACCGGAGCACCGUCGUGUAUAGUAUUUCCUCCAGAUGCAUCUCGAUUCAACUUUAAACCAGGUAUUAUCCAGCUUUUACCAACAUUUCAUGGUUUAGAAUCUGAGAAUCCAUACUUGCAUCUAAGAGAUUUUGAGGAAGUUUGUAAUACAUACACGGACCAAAAUUGUAGCAUGAACAUAAUUAGAUUAAAGCUUUUUCCUUUUUCAUUAAAAGAUAAAGCUAAAACUUGGCUACAAAACCUUAGAUCUGGAUCAGUAAGAACUUGGAAUAACAUGCAAGAACAGUUUUUGAAAAAAUUCUUUCCACCUCAUAGAACAAAUUCUUUUAAAAGGCAAAUCACUUCUUUCACUCAAAAAAAUGGAGAAACAUUAUACCAAUGUUGGGAUAGGUUUAAAGAGUUGCUUAACAUAUGCCCACAUCAUGGUUUUGAAACUUGGCGAUUGGUCACUUAUUUCUACGAGGGCUUAAUACCCCAAAGUAGACAGGUUGUUGAAAUGAUGUGUAAUGGUGAAUUUAGGGAUAAAAAUCCUGAAGAUGCACUAGAUUACCUUGACCAAUUAGCUGAAAAUGCACAACAUUGGGAUACUGUUGGAACUUUUGAAUUGACAAAUAAGCAACAAUCAUCUCCAUCUAGUGGAGGAAUCCAUAACCUUAGGGAAGAUCAUGAUUUACAAGCAAAAUUUGCAUCCCUAGUUAGGAAAGUUGAAGCUUUGGAGCAUAAAAAGAGUGAUCAAGUAAAAUCUGUUCAAGAAAUUGCAUGUAACAUAUGUAAUUUGAAUGAUCAUUUCACUCAAGAGUGUCCCACUUUGCCUGCACUUAAAGAAUGUCUAAAUGAUCAAGCUAAUGUCAUUAACACUUUCAAUAAACCAAACCCAUAUUCACAGACUUAUAAUCCUGGUUGGAGAAAUCAUCCGAAUUUCAGUUGGAGGAAUAAUAAUAAUGCACAAUCUUCACAAGCACCACCUCCACAAAAUUUUCAAAAUCCUCAGCCUUAUGCACCAUAUGUUCCACCACCUUGGAAAAAUCUGGAAGACACAAUGCAUUCAUUCAUCAGAAAGCAAGAUGUUAUUAACAAUCAAAAUGCACAAACUUUUUCUGAUUUGAAAGAUACUCUUGCUAAAAUCGCUUCUGCACUCACCAUUCAAGAAAAAGGAAAAUUUCCAGCCCAACCACAACCAAAUCCUAAAAUUCAACAAAAUCCACCCACAGACCAAGUCAAGUCAGUUAUAACUCUUCGUAGUGGUAAGGUUGUUGAUAGACCUAUGCCUGAACCUUAUGAAAAUGAUGAAAAUUCAAAGGGUAAGGAAGGACUAAAUGAACUUACACCUAGUGAAGAAAUAACUAGUGUUCCACCUGAACCACCAUUUCCGCAUGCAUUGAAUAAACCAAAGAAAUCAAACCACUCUUCUGAAAUUUAUGAAAUCUUUAAGCAAGUGAAAGUUAACAUUCCUCUAUUAGAUGCAAUCAAGCAGGUUCCUUCAUAUGCCAAAUUUUUAAAGGACUUGUGCACUGUUAAGAGGAAAUUGAAGGUAAGAAAGAGUGCUUUCAUGGCCGAACAGGUAAGUACAAUUCUGUCUACUAAUAAUAAGUUGAAAUAUAAAGAUCCUGGUUGUCCUACCAUUUCUUGUAUUAUUGGUAACCACAGAAUUGAGCAUGCUUUAUUAGAUCUUGGUGCUAGUGUUAAUUUGCUUCCAUAUUCAGUUUAUCUUCAACUUAAUCUUGGUGAGUUAAAAUCAACUUCAACUACACUUUUGCUUGCCGAUAGAUCAGUUAAAGUACCAAAAGGAAUAGUGGAAGAUGUUUUAGUACAAGUUGAUAAAUUUAUUUAUCCUGUGGAUUUUAUUGUCUUGGAAACUGAACCUAUUGUGAAUAAUUACAAACCAAUUCCUGUAAUUUUAGGUCGACCAUUUUUAGCAACUGCUAAUGCUUUGAUUAAUUGUAGGAAUGGUUUAAUGAAUUUAUCCUUUGGGAAUAUGACUUUGGAAUUGAAUGUUUUCAACAUGUGCAGGCAACCUAAUGAAGAAAAUGAGAAUGAAGAUGAUACCGAUGAACAAAAGGAAUUGUUUGAAUCUUGUAUCGAGGAAAAUAUUCAAAAAGGGGAUUUUUCUGAACUUUCUAAUGUUUGUUUAGUUAAUUCAAUUGAGUCAAAUAAGCAACUUGAACUGGAUAUUUCUAAUAUAAAUUCGUUGCUUGAUUCUAUGCAGACUUCACAAAAUUAUGAUGACGAGCAAAAAUUUAAGGAGCUUGGAAGUAUUGAAAAGACAGAACAACAAGAAGCACCUAAAAUGGAAUUGAAACCUUUGCCUGAAGGAUUGAAAUAUGCUUUUCUUGGAGAAGAACAAACUUAUCCUGUUGUGAUUUCUUCUACUUUAACAAGCGACCAAGAAGGUAAGUUACUAACUGUUCUUAAAAAGCAUAAAAAUGCAAUAGGGUGGACUUUAAAUGACAUUAAAGGCAUUAAUCCCUUAAUCUGCACACAUAGAAUUAAUUUGGAAGAAAAUGCUAAAAUAUGUCAGCAACCUCAAAGAAGAUUAAACCCACACAUGAAAGAGGUAGUCAAAACAGAAGUCCUUAAAUUACUUGAUGUAGGAAUUAUCUACCCUAUUUCUGAUAGUAAGUGGGUAAGUCCUACACAAGUAGUGCCUAAAAAAUCUGGAAUCACUGUUGUUAAAAAUGAAAAAGGUGAAUUAAUUCCAACACGAAUUACAUCUAGUUGGCGCAUGUGCAUUGAUUAUAGAAAAUUAAAUGAAGCCACUAGAAAAGAUCAUUUUCCAUUACCAUUCCUUGACCAAAUCUUAGAAAGAGUAGCAGGACAUCCCUACUACUGUUUUUUAGAUGGAUAUUCAGGUUAUUAUCAAAUUCCUAUAGCACUUGAGGACCAAGAAAAGACCACAUUCACAUGUCCUUUUGGAACAUUUGCAUUUAAAAGAAUGCCAUUCGGGCUUUGUAAUGCUCCUGCAACAUUUCAAAGAUGUAUGUUAAGCAUUUUUUGUGAUAUGGUUGAACAUUGUUUAGAGGUCUUUAUGGAUGAUUUGACUGUGUUUGGGAAUUCUUUUGAUGAUUGCCUUGAUAAUUUGGAGAAAGUUUUAAAAAGAUGUGUUGAAAAAGAACUCGUGUUGAAUUGGGAAAAAUGUCACUACAUGGUUACUUCUGGAAUUGUUUUGGGUCAUGUUGUUUCUAUUAAAGGAAUUGAAGUUGACAAAGCAAAAAUUGAAGUCAUAUCUAAAUUGCCACAACCAAAAACAGUUAGAGACGUGCGAUCCUUUUUAGGACAUGCAGGAUUUUAUAGGAGGUUUAUAAAAAACUUUAGUGCCAUAUCUAAACCACUUUGUAACCUCUUAUUAAAAGAUGCACCGUUUGAAUGGAAUGAUGAUUGCCAAAAAUCUUUUGAAAAAAUAAUUUGUCUUUUAACAUCUGCACCUAUUAUGCAAUCUCCUGAUUGGUCUUUGCCAUUUGAAUUAAUGUGUGAUGCAAGUGAUUUUGCUGUUGGUGCUGUUUUAGGACAAAGAAGGGAUGGUAAGCCUUUUGUGAUUUAUUAUGCGAGUAAGACUUUGGAUAGUGCUCAAAUGAAUUAUUCUACAACUGAAAAAGAAUUACUUGCUGUGGUAUUUGCAUUAAACAAAUUUCGUUCAUAUUUGCUUGGCUCUAAAUCUGUUGUGUUUACUGACCACGCUGCUGUGAGAUAUUUGAUGAGUAAACAGGAUGCCAAACCGAGACUAAUUCGUUGGAUUUUGUUACUACAAGAAUUUGACCUUACCAUCAAAGAUAAAAAGGGUGCUGAAAAUGUUGUUGCUGAUCAUCUAUCAAGACUCACAUCUGAAUUCUGCAAUGAUAUAACACCCAUAAAUGAUUCCUUCCCUGAUGAAUUUUUAUUUUCUGUUACUUCAAUGCCAUGGUAUGCUAACAUUGUUAAUUUCCUUGUUACAGGUAAAAUGCCUUUGCAAUGGAAUGCUCAAGAGAAAAAGAAAUUUUUUGUUGAAGUAAAGAAAUUUUAUUGGGAUGACCCUUAUUUGUUCAAAUAUUGCCCAGAUCAAAUUUUUCGGCGAUGUAUUCCUGAUAAUGAGGUAAGUAGUGUCAUUAAUUUUUGUCAUUCUGAAGCAUGUGGUGGUCAUUUUUCUUCAAGAAAAACUACUGCUAAAAUUUUACAGUGUGGAUUUUAUUGGCCUACCAUGUUUAAAGACACAUAUGAAUUCUGCAAAAGUUGUGAAAAAUGUCAAAAAUUGGGAUCAAUUACAAAAAGAAACAUGAUGCCCUUAAAUCCCAUACUUGAAAUUGAAAUAUUUGACUGUUGGGGAAUUGAUUUCAUGGGUCCAUUUCCAUCAUCUUUUGGAUUUGUGUAUAUAUUAGUUGCAGUUGAUUAUGUCUCAAAAUGGAUUGAAGCAAUUUCUUGUCGAAAUAAUGAUAGUAAAACUGUGAUUAAAUUUUUAAGAGAAAACAUUUUAAGUCGAUUUGGAAUCCCUCGAGCCAUUAUCAGUGAUGGAGGUAAGCAUUUUUGUAAUAAGUCAUUUGAGUUUUUAAUGAAGAAAUAUGGAAUUACACAUAAAAUUGCUACCCCUUAUCAUCCUCAAACAAAUGGUCAAGUUGAAUUAGCAAAUAGGGAGAUAAAACAAAUUUUGGAAAAAACGGUUAACCCAAACCGAAAAGAUUGGUCUCUUAGACUUAAUGAUGCACUUUGGGCUUACCGUACUGCAUUUAAAACAUCAUUAGGAAUGUCACCCUAUCGGUUAAUUUAUGGUAAACCUUGUCAUUUACCUGUUGAACUUGAACAUAAAUCACUUUGGGCUAUUAAAGCUUUUAAUUCAAAUUUGGAUGAUGCUGGUAAUGUGCGAAAAUUGCAAUUGGAUGAACUUGAGGAAUUAAGGAAUGAUGCAUAUGAAAAUUCAAGAAUUAUUAAGGCUAGAACAAAAGCAUUUCAUGAUAAAAGAAUUUUUCGAAAAACAUUUGAGAUUGGUCAAAAAGUGUUGCUUUAUAAUUCUCGUCUUCAUUUAUUUCCAGGGAAGUUAAAGUCAAAAUGGAGUGGCCCAUUUGUUGUAAAAAAUGUAUUUUCAUAUGGGGCCAUAGAAAUUGAGAAUCCAAAUAACGGUGUCACAUUUAAAGUUAAUGGUCAAAGAUUAAAACCAUAUUUGGAACAUCACCCACGUGACGAGGACACCGAAAUUAAUUUGGAUGACCCACCAGUUCUUGAUUAAGUCUUUAAUGAUUUUUUUUGUUUUACUAUUAUUUUACCGUUUCAUUGUUUGAUUUUUUUCUUUAGAUUGAUGCACUGUAAAUAGUUUUUUUUAACAUUGUUUUUCUUGUGUAAGCGUGUUUGUUUGACAGUUGUACAUUCUCUCAUCAAUUUUCAUUUUACAUCAUGAGCACCUCAAUGAGAAAAUACCUGUUCGCACAUCUUAAAAGAUUUCGGCGUAUAAAAUUUCACUUAAGAGGCCUGAUACAAAGCUGUAAAUCACAUCCACUUUGGGAUCUGCAACCACCAGAAUUCGUGUCCUAUGUUGAGGAUCUAGAGGGACAACUCAGAACAGUAGAGAGUGGCAUAUAUGAAUUUCAAAUGGAGCUUGAGGUUAACUCAAUGAGAGGACGAAUGUAAGUUCAUUUUCCUUUUAUAUUGUGUGUUUUUUCUUUUUGCUCGCUUUCACGCUUGAUUUGAUUUUGCAGAUUUGAUUUUGGUAAGUUUUGAUUUAUUUUCCCGUAUAAAUGGCGGAUAACGGUACUCCGUGACUUUUUAAGUCGGUAUCUUCAGUUUCCCACAAUAACUGAAACCCCAAAAUCAAACAUGGAAGAAAUACAACAUAAACUGCAUAAGCACUUUCCUUCUCUCCCUCAGAAUGCCCUCAGGAAAAUUUACAAAGCUCGUUGUGAACGACUGCGUUUGUUAAUGAUCAAUGGCAUUCCUUCUGACAUUCGUUGGUUAAUUGAAGCAAAAGUCCGAUUAGUAGGUGAGUUUUCUGAUCCAUUUGUUUCUUACAUGCCUGGUUUUGGUAAAAGUACGUUUGCUAAGAAAAGGAGAGCUAAACGACUUGGCUCAAAAUGUCAUAACUGUGUAAGACUUGGUUGCAAACGACCGGAUUGUCAAUCUUUAGGAAUGGUUUCUGAUACUCGUGAAGAUAAAAUUAAAUUCGUUAAAGAUGGCAUGAGUAAAGAAUCGUUGGAUGAUAUCUUACGAUCUCUUGAGACGCAUCGAAGUGGAAUUGUGCAACGUGAGAUUUACAAUUUGUGGAUACUAUUCCAAAAACAAAGUGCACAGUUAAGUCUUGGGAAUCUGACUAAAAAAGACCUUGUUUGCCAGUUUAUAAGAAAACUGGAUGGGAAGCCGAUCCUCGACCCAUAGAGGGCGUUCAAGCCGUUACUGGACGUAAAACCAGAGGAAGAUGUGAGCCACAAUCACAACUACCAGUAAAUAUCCUUUCACUUCACUGUUAUUUUACUUUACUGUUAUUUGCAUUUAGCGGUGUGAUUUUUGUAUUUAAUAAAUAUUUGUUUUCUUUUACUGUUUGCUUUUUUUAAUCAUUAUUAUUUUUUUUUUUUUUUUUACUGUUUGUUUUUGAAUUAUUGAGCCACGAGCUUUCCUCGUCAUUUGACAAAUAUGCCAACCCAUUUACAGCUGUUUCUCAUUAUUUAUGUCACCAAGAUCUUUAAAUAUGAGCUCGUUUUUCAAACACUCACAACUUGUUUUUGAAAAAUUAGUCCAAUGGCAGCAUCUUCGAGUAAACAAUUCAAAAAUAUUUGUGUGCUUUCUGGGUUUCACUAUGGAAAGUACAAAGAGUUCGUUCAGGCAGCUGUAGAUCUUGGUCGUGUCAUAGCAGAGAGGAAACUGCAUCUUGUAUAUGGAGGAGGUGAACGAGGGUUAUCAAGACUUGUCUCAGAAGCUGUUUUUACCAGAGGAAGUCAAGUACUCGGCAUUAUCCCAAAACCCAUGAAACCGCUAGUGUGCUUGUCUGGCCCACCAAUUGGAGAAGAAUUAGUGGUAUCAAGUAUGCAAGAGAGACUAUCUGAAAUGAUGAAUCAUGCUGAUGCUUUUAUUUUUUUGCCAGGAGAUCUUGCAACUUUUGAGGCACUAAUUACAUUUGCAUCUUGGGCCCACUUGAACAUUCAUCAAAAACCCAUCGGUUUGUUAAAUGUUAAUAAUUUUUAUGACGGCUUGCUAACUUUUAUUAACCAUGCAAUAAAGAAUCAUUUUGUUCCACAUUCUGUAAAAAAACUCUUUAUCUCUGCUUCUACUGCUAAUGAGUUACUUGAUCUUUUACAAGCUUAUACACCAGAGCCAGAUCCACAGACUGUUGCACUGAAUUGGUCGACUAAUGAUGGUAACGGUAACAGUAGCAGUAAUAAGAAGUGCGAUUUAGAUUUAACUCUCCGUUUGUAAAUAUUUUCUGUUGUAAUGUUCAUGUGAUGUCUUCUACACUCUUUCUCUUUCCUUUUAAAACAUUGAGGACAAUGUCUUUUUCAGGUUGGGGGGAGGGAAUAGUUGAUAAUUGUGGAAUGUCUUAGUCCUGGUUAUGUGUUUACAAAAAAAAAAAAAAAAAAAAAAAACAAUAACAAAAUUUUUUUUUUCUGUAAAGACUAACUUAGGACAAAUUUGAGUCGAAGAUGGCAGGAUAUAGAGAAUGUAGUCUCUCUAGAAACGCAUCUUCUUAAUCUUAAGGGUGUUGUUAAAAAAAAAAAAAAAAAAAAAAAAUUUCUUUUUCUUCAUCUUUGUUAUCUACUUCUAAGCUUCUGCAUCAAGUUCAGGUGAGAUCUCCUCUUCUUCUUCUUUUAUUUUUUCUUUUUCUUUUUGCAUAUCUGUAAAUUAUAAAAUGUUAGGAUAAUGUUUAGAUUAGGUUGUGGGGUGGGGAUAAUUGACGUAUGUUUUAAAUAUGUAUGUUGUUUUUUUCCCUUUUCUCUUUUCUUUUCUUUGCAAAAAAAAAAAAAAAAAAAAAAAAAAAUUGUUUUUUGUCUAGGAUGGUCGUGUAAAGAGUCACGACUUUUGAGACGCAUCCUAAUAGUCUUGUUGUAUUAUAUUUUGAUUUUGAGAUUUAUAGUAAGUUGUUUUUGUUCCCUUUUCUUUGAAUUACUCAAAUAUGUGAACUCUCCACUUGGUUAUUAAGUUAUUUAAUUGUUUACUCAUUUAACAGGUAUUGUUGAAUCAUUCUUCACACACACAUUAUGACACAUACUAGUGGGUUGUAAGUUAAAAUUUUACAGCAUUUAGUUCUUUUGAUUUAUUAGGAAAAGUAUCUAAGGUAGUAGAAAGUGUAUAUUUCCAAAAAAAAAAAAGAAAAAAAAAAAGAAAAAAAAAAAAGAAAAAAAAAUUUUGUUAUAUCUAGAAACCCGAGUAAUUAAGUCCGUAGGGGUGUUUCAACACCUAGUGCCCUAAGGUCAACUGGUCUGGGAGUCACUGGCCUAAAGCUCGCUACAUGGGUAAUAGAUAUAUUGUUUGUUUAUUAGAAACCCGAGUAAUUAAGUCCGUAGGGGUGUUUCAACACCUAGUGCCCUAAGGCCAACUGGUCUGGGAGUCACUGGCCUAAAGCUCGCUACACGGGUUAGAAAUGUAAUAUAUAUAAAAAAAAAAAAAUGUGUGAAUAAUCUGUGCCUAAAGAUAUAAUUUCUAAUGAAUUUUAGAACGAAAAUGUUGUUUUUCUUUUAAUGAAGCCCCAUAAGUAUUGUGUUAAUUACUUGAGCACAAAAGAAUGUUUGAUGAUAUUCUGAAUAAUGAGUGAACAUCAAUGUGGUAAAGGAAUUUGGGAGAGUUCAUUUAUUUGGUAAUUUAGAGGAUAGAUGAACAAUUAUUAACUUGCAUGUGAAUUUUAUAAAUCUUAAUAUAACGCUUUAAUUGCUAGAGGGCUAGCAAUAAGCUGGUUGGGGGGUGUGAUUAGUAUUAAAAAUUGUUUAAUUAUCAAGCGAUAAUAUGUUAUUUUAUGCUUAUGUUAUAAUUUAUAUUUGUGUUUAUGUAAUAUAUUAUGAAUUAUUAAUUAUGUUUUAAAUAUAUUUAAUUUUGUGUAUUUUUAUGUGUUUAUUAGGAAAAUUAUUAAUUUCACGUACUUCGAGGCUCCAAACAGAUAAACGGAGGUCAAAUUUGGAUUCCGGAGGUCCGAAAACCUUAAGAUCAGUCAAGAUCGGCUUAAAAUUGGGCUUGUGUAAAAAAAGUUGACUUUUCCUGUUGACCGAGCACUGAUUGGAUGAUGAAAUGAGCUUACAAUAGAUAUGAGUGCAUGGGAUAACUGGCAAUCUUGACCAAAUCUCAACCGUUCAUGAUUCAAUGGCCAUGAUUGUGCCACGUGGCAAUGGUUGGUGAAGCAAGUUGGAGGAUCCGAAUCUUUGUAUUCGGGUCGACCCGAUCCACCCAUUAACCCGCCAAAUCUCAACCGUUCUUUGGGUAAAUCGGACGAGUCAAAUGAUGCCAUGUGUGAUGUUGACUUUUGAAGUUUGACCAGCCAUUGGAUCUUGAUCUAAGGGUUGUGAGGAGCACAUGCAUGAAGCCUAUGAUGGACCGCAAAGCACGGGAUUAUGAAUUUAUUUUUUCUAUAAAUAGGGCCUCAUUUUUAUGUUUUAAUCAUCUCUCUACAACUCUCUUCUUCUCAAAUUCUCUCCAUCUCCUUGUAAUCUUGAUUUCCAGGUGUGUUUUUAAUAUUUUGUAUAAUUAUUUUCAUUAAUAAAAUUAGUUUUAUUUCCAAUUUUAGUUGUUUUUAUUUCUUUUAAUUAUAAGUAAUUCAAUUUUACUACUUUUUUUUAUUUUAAUUAUGCUUAACUAAAUAAUAUUAGUUAGGGGAAGGUGAAACUCUUAAGAAAUAAAUAUGAUUUAAUCAAAUUCUAUGUUUAAUUUUAUAAAUUAAAUUAUUUUCUAUUUAAUUUUAUACAUGUUUUAUAUUUUGAAAAUUUGAUUUAUUGUAGACAAAUAAAUGAAUUUGGCACAAUAAAUUCUUAAGAUCUUAAUAUAAGGCAUGGUGAAAUGGUAUUUUGACUUAUUGUAGACAAAUUAAAUUUUGGCACAAUAAAUACUUAAUCCAUCAUAAAAUUAAAGGGAAAAUAAUAAUAAUUUGUAUAAUUAAUCUUUUGAGUAAUAAAUCUAAAACAAAUUGGCAAAAAGAAUUUAUUAAGUUUUAUUUGUUUCUAAGAGUGGAUCCAUAACCCUAACUAGUUCAAUUCCAUAGUUUCAUUUAAAUUAAGUUGUUUAUAUUCAAGUUUUAAUUUCAAUUUUUAGAUCAAAUAAAAUAAAUUAAUUAAAUCUUUUCUCUGUGGAUCGACCUCGGACUCACCGAGUUAUAAUACAACAAGACACUCUUAUACUUGGGAGUUAAAAUUUACUUUUAAGUUGUGUCAAUAUUCUUUGUACUUUUUUUCUCUUUCUAUUUAAAUUCAACAAUAUGUAAUCAUUAAUAAUAAUUAAUUAUAAGUCUUUUGAAAUAUUUAUUUAUUUUAUUAUGCUAGCAAUUAAACUUUAGUGGCUUAAAAUACAUGAAUUAAUUAACAUAGGAAGAUAUGUUCUUUCAUUUAUAAAGCUAUGACUUGAGGAGGUGAUGUGGCAUCACCAUUUUGCUUCUUUAUAUAUUCUCUAUUAUCUAAUAAAUAGAGAUUUUUUUUUAGAUUUGGCUUUACAUCUUAUCAUAAUUAAUUUGAUUGUAUUUAACUCAUUUAAUAAAUAAUAACUUUAUUAAUAUAUAUCAUUCCUCAUCUUUUUAUAUUUUAUAUUAUCUAAAAUAUCUAAAAUAUUGGUGGAUAUUCUUUGUAUUUUUUUUUCUCUUUCUAUUUAAAUUCAACAAUAUGUAAUCAUUAAUAAUAAUUAAUUAUAAGUCUUUUGAAACAUUUAUUUAUUUUAUUAUGCUAGCAAUUAAACUUUAGUGGCUUAAAAUACAUGAAUUAAUUAACAUAGGAAAAUAGGUUCUUUCAUUUUCCCUCAGCAAUGCCACUAAGGCCUAAUUUUAAUGUCAUAAUCACGUAUUUAAUUAUGCAACCUUUUGUUGAGUGUCUUUUGGUUUCUUCAAAAUUUAUUAUGCUAUCAAUUAAACUUUAGUGCCUUAAAAUACAUCACCUAAUUAACAUAGGAAGAGAGGUUCUUUCAUCUUCCCUCAACCUCAUAUUUUUAUAUUCUCUAUUAUCUAAAAUAUCUAAAAUAUUAGUGGAUAUUCUUUUUACAUAUUUCUUCCUCUUUCUAUUUAAAUCCAACAAUAUAUAACCAUUAAUAAUAAUUAAUUAUAAGUCUUUUGAAACAUUCAUUUAUUUUAUUAUGCUAGCAAUUAAACUUUAGUGGUUUAAAAUACAUGAAUUAAUUAACAUAGGAAGAGAGGUUCUUUCAUCUUCCCUCAACAAUGUCACUAGGGCCUAAUUUUAAUACCAUAAUCUCAUAUUUAAUUAUGCAACCUUUUGUUGAGUGCCUUUUGGCUUCUUCAAAUUUUAUUAUGCUAGCAAUUAAACUUUAGUUCCUUAAAAUACAUCAACUAAUCUAUAUAUCUAUAUAUCUAUAUAUAUAUAUAUAUAUAUAUAAAGUUGGGACUACAAGUGGUGAUGUGGCAUCACCAUUUCUCAUCAUUUCAUAUUCUCUGUUAUCUAAUAAAUUUGUUGAAAUUAAAAAAUAAUUACAUUAUAAAAUAUUAAAAUAGAAAAUAAUUAUUAGAUUAUAAAUGAUUACAUGUCUUUUCCUCUUUUUAUUUAAAUUCAAUAAUAUGUAACCAUUAAUAAUAAUUAAUUAUAAGUCUUGAAACAUUCAUUUAUUUUAUUAUGCCAACAAUUAAAUUUUAGUGGCUUAAAAUACAUCAAAUAAUUAAUAUAGGAAGGAAUGUUCCUUCAUCUUCUCUCAACAAUACCAUUAGAGCCUAAUUUUAAUGUCAUAAUCCCAUAUUUAAUUAUUCAAUCUUUUGUUUAGUGCCUUUUGACUUCUUCAAACUCCAUAAACAUUAAAUAUUUAAGAUUUGUGUCAUCAUUAUUUCUCAUCUUUUUUUAUUCUCUAUUAUCUAAUAUAUUGGUUGAGAUUAAAAAAUAAUUACAUUACAAAAUAUUAAAAAUCUAUAUAUAUAUAUAUAUAUAUAUAUAAAGUUGGGACUAGAGAAGGUGAUGUGGCAUCACUAUUUCUCAUCUUCUUGUAUUAUCUAUUAUCUAAUAAAUUGGUUGAUAUUAAAAAAAUAAUUACAUUACAAAAUAUUAAAAAUAAAAAAUAAUUAUUAGAUUAUAAAAGAUUACAUGUCUCUUCCUCUUUCUAUUUAAAUUCAAUAAUAUGUAACCAUUAAUAAUAAUUAAUUAUAAAUCUUGAAAUAUUUAUUUAUUUUAUUAUGCCAAUAAUUAAACUUUAGUGGCUUAAAUAUAUCAAUUAAUUAAUAUAGGAAUGAAUGUUCCUUCAUCUUCCCUCAACAAUGUCAUUAGGGUCUAAUUUUAAUGCUAUAAUCUCAUAUUUAAUUAUGCAACCUUUUGUUUUGUGCCUUUUGGCUUCUUCAAACUCCAUAAAUAUUAAGUAGUUAAGAUUUGUGGCAUUAUUAUUUCUCAUCUUUUUGUAUUUUCUAUUAUCUAAUCUAUUGGUUGAGAUUAAAAAAUAAUUACAUUACAAAAUAUUAAAAAUAGAAAAUAAUUAAUAGAUUACAAAAAAUUACAUGUCUCUUCCUCUUUCUAUUUAAAUUCAACAAUAUGUAACCAUUAAUAAUAAAUUAAUUAUAAGUUUUGAAACAUUCAUUUAUUUUAUUAAGCCAAUAACUAAACUUUAGUGGUUUAAAAUACAUCAACUAAUUAAUAUAGGAAGGAAGGUUCCUUCAUCUUUCCUCACCAAUACCACUAUGACCUAAUUUUAAUGUCAUAAUCCCAUAUUUAAUUAUGCAACCUUUUAUUUAGUGUCUUUUGACUUCUUCAAACUCUAUAAAUAUUAAGCAUUUAAGAUUUGUUAUGUUUGGGUUUUUUUUUUUUAUUUAACCAACAUCCUCUUUAUAAAUGUUCUUGUGUUUUUAUUUUUUUGACUUAUUUAAAUUUUUAGUAUUGUGUGCUUCAUGGAGUACUCUUUUCUUCAUGAGUUAAACAAUGAUAAAGAUAGUUGGAUGAUAAGGGUUAGACUUUAUAAGAUAUGGGAGUCUGUUAAUACCAAGAAAAAUAAAGAGUUGAUUAGUGUGAACAUAAUUUUUAUUGAUAAAAAGGUUGUAUACACUUAACUAUACACAUUAAUAUAUAUUUUUAAUGUUAACAAAAAAAAAUUAACUUUCAUAAAUAACAUUAGUUUUAUAAGGCUACGUCAUCUUUAAAAAAAAAAAAUUUAUAUUUUUUAUCAGUUUCAUCAAGUGCAAAAUAAUAAAAAAAGAUAAUACUAAUUUUUUUUUAAAGCUGCACGAAGUGCGGAUCCAUUUCCUAGUGACCAUAUAUACAUAGGCCGGCCCGGGCCCUUGGACAUGACACCAUAACCCUCCAAUAAUUUCAAUUUUUAUUAUUGUUCCCAAAACACCCUUCCAAACUUUUCCAGCGUUAAUAGUCAUGAAGAUAAUUUAUUAAUUUAAUCAAACAGUAAAGAUAAUUAUGUCAUUGUAUAUUUGUGGGUCAAGUCAAGCGAGGCAUUUUCUUCCAUCCUGAUCAUCUGCCAUGCAAACAUCUGGGUAAACUUUCUUCCAUCUUAUAACAUCAGGGCUUCUUCUUUGGAUUCUUAUGGUCAUUCAUUCAUUUCUCUAAUCUCUUUUUCCUCUUACAUGUUUUUUUUUUAGAUUUUUUUUAUCAUAUGAUGUGGCAGAAAUUAUCAUGUUUAUAAAUCUUUAUCCUAAAUUUGAUAUGUUAAGUUGUCACUUAACCGUAAACAAAUGAUUAAUUUUACAUGAAAAUAGUAAAAUGACCAGAAAAAUCAGGAGAAUGUAUUAUUAAUGCCUUUCAUAUGAUGAGAGGCCAAAAUCACCCUGUUUACAAAUCUUUAUCUUCAAUUUGAAUUGUUUGACUUAAAAACUAGAACUAUCAAAUACGAGUCAGCAUUAGAACAAAAGUUAAAUAUAGCAUUGUUGAUGCUGAAAUCUGCUCGUCCUUUGCCCGACCAGAUCUUUACACCAACGCUUCUGUAAUCGGUAGUGAGGAUGUCAACUUCUUUUCGCCCCAACUACCGCUCUAGUCACUGAGAUUGGAAUAGGCCUUCCUUCUCCCACUAAGCCUGCGUUCACAAAAGUGGAUCAGAGACGCCGGUGGUUUUACCGGCGUAAACCCUCCGAUGCCUAAGUUAGCACAAGGUGUUUAUGGGAAAACGGUGCAAUUUGGAUUCGAUAAAUUGCUUAUAAUUGGCUCACAGUUUGUACUAAAAAUAGUCUGGUUUCAAUUUGGCAGAGUUUUCCCUUCUUCCCUUUUUUUUCUGUCCUUUUCUUCAUUAGUUUCCUUAUCUUUUAUAGCCAUUGUCCCACGUUUCUGUUUACCCUUCAUCCCCCCUCUAUCUUGGAUCGUGGCAGCCCCCAUGGGAUUCCAACUGCUAUAUUGUGGGUAAAUGUGGGACACCGUAUCUCCCUCGGCGGUUCUGGGCAUAGCGCAACUGUCGUGAUAUCGUGAGAUCGUGUUCCCGCUUUUUGGGGAAUGAGUAUCUGCUCGGUAUUUGUCUCUGGUCGGUCCUUGCUCGUAAAAGACUUAUUAUCAGUGUUCUGCUCAUACCAUUUGGCUGAGGUGAUCCAUGCCGGGGUGGAAAUGAUGGCAUGGCUGAGCUGGUGCUCUUAUUUACUUAACACCAGUCCCCUAGUUUCUGGUCUUGCGAGUGAAACGAGUUAAGAGUAGAAACUGAUAGUCAAAUCUUACCGAUUUGAGGAACUACCCAUCUGGUCCUCGCGUUAUUGUGGUGGCUCUGAGGUUCCAUCUCUUGUUUGAGGAGAUUUUUUAUCCGAGUAUGGGCCUUUAUGAAUAUAUCUUGUAUAUAUUUGGGCUUAUGUCUCGUCAGGCCUUUCAUAACGGUUAAUGACGUGGUGCUUCCCGACUCUUCGUAUUUGAAAUUUGAAACGACGGGCUAUCUAUCCUCGAUAUACGGUGAGUGAGCUGGCAUCCCCAUCACUUAAACGCUUCCAUUUCCCCCUUUUCGUUUCAAAUCCCUAGAUUGAAAUCAUCAUCGCUUUGUUAUUCGUCUCUCCGCCGUUAGCCAACUCCUUAUUUGAACUUUGCUCACACCUCCCGCGUCCGGAGUAUCCAUGUGCUGGGUGUUUCCUUUGUCACGGCAGCGCUAUCAGUGCCAGUUUAUUCCAGGUAUAGCCUUUAACCUUUUCUUUGGUUGUUGUUGAUUGGGUUCUGUGUUGCCCCUUUUUGUAUUCGUGUACUCGGGUUUGCUUGGGUGUCCUUUUGAGACUUCGAUAUGUCAAAUCGGAGGAGGAAGUUAAUUGCAGAUGACAGUGACGAAGAAAUAGAGGAUACACACCUUAGUACCCACGUCCCCUGACCAUUUCACCCUCCCCUGAAUUAGAACUUGUAGGAAAUAGAGGUGGACCUGCGUCAGGCUCCAGUGAGAACCACAGUUCUGGUGGGGUUGGAGUCCCUGAAGAAGUGGGUGAUGGUGAGGGAAGCAGUUCCGAGCCGAGCAGACCCCCUAAGAAAAUGAACCUUGGCCAUAAGGUGGAGGCGGAUUCUUACCCUAUUGACUACAUAGCUUGUGCCACUACCCAAACAGAUCUAUUCAAGCUUAGGAACCUCUACAACAUUCCUGAGGAGGUUCUCCUGGUAGUUCCUGGGAAAAGUGACGUUCCUAGUCGGCCUCCGCGGGGGUAUGUGACGAUGCACCUGGAGAGUUUCAAAUUAGGAGCUCGACUGCCCCUUCAGCGUUAUUUUGCUAAGAUACUGGGUGGUAUGCACCUGGCCCCAGGUCAGCUACAUCCCAAUGGGUGGAGGGUUCUCUCAGCUAUGUAUGUGUUAUGGAAGAGGUGUGGAUCAGAGGAGCCCUCUCUUGUUGAAGUAAAGCAUUUAUAUCAGCUGAUGAGUAGCCCGAAUGAGGCAGGCUAGUACUACUUUAUGUCGAGCUCUGCGAAGAGGAAGCCAAUCACCGGCUUCCCCUCCUCGUGUAAAAACUGGAAGAAUAAAUUCUUCUUUGCUGGAGGGAAAUGAUGUACAGCAGGCCGUUCGCUGGGUGGUGAUAUUUACCUUCCAACGCAUUUUGUCACCCCAGGUCGUUCAUUUUUUGCCUAUAUUCUUUCUCAAAUUGCCACUUAUUGGGUUCUUUAACCUUGUUUGUUUUUUCAGAAUCGUGGGGUUUGGUUAAGGAUCUUGAAGACCGACUUUUGCUCCAAGUUGAAACUGCUCUGGUGAACGCGUCUACCUGCCAAGACCUCCUGUCACCAACAAACUUGGUCGGUUCGGGCUUAGUGGACAUUGCUGCCGGAAUGGAUAACAAGAUCCUCAACGCGAUGACCAGAAAGUGUGGUCGGGCUCCAAGCAGCUCCAGCAACCUUCCUCCUCCUCCAAAGAAAGCCAAUGUUGGUCAACCCAAGGCUUCUGUUCCUGCUCUGCCCCCUCCUCCACCUCGGAAAAAUGGUGGGGAGAAGGUGAGUAAUAGGAGUCCCGAGGUCAGCAUCCAGUCUGGGGACCGAUCUUCUCCUCUUCCAUCUUGGGAUCAAGGUGACUACCUGAGCCUGUAUCAGAAGGAUUACGGAAAAUCGGUGGGGCCCAAGAUGGUGAAGGACAUCGAGAGUAUGAACCUCUCCGAGCUAGCUUGUUCUGUUCAAAGAGUCUCCUUCAAGCUGGCCACCUUGGUUUCGUGUUACAAGAACAGGUCCACGCGCCAUGAGAGGAGGCUUCAAGCUGACAAUCAGGAUUUGAAGAAGAAAGUUGAAUCUGCUGAUCGCUCAAAGGAGAAGCUGGCUGAGCUGAACAAGCAGAUCACGGACCUCGAGGAGAAAGUUGCUGUUGCUGAGUCCACCACCUCCAAACUUGAGGGUGAGUUGGGUGACCUGAAGUUUGAUCUUCAGGCUACUCAAAGUGAAAGAGAUACUUUGAGGACCGCCCUUGAGGGAGAAAUCAAAUCUCUGAGCACGCAGUUGGCUGAGGCGAGAGGCAAAUCUGUUGAUGUGGAUGAUCGGCUAGAUGCAGAGUAUGACUCUGGGGUUGCUUUUUGCUUUAAGUACAUCAUGUCUGUGCUUAAGGAAUAAUAUCCCAAGCUGGACAUAAGCAAGCUGGAGGCUGGAGUGCAGAGAUAUAUGGCUGAGGCCAACCAGGGGGAUAAGGAGCAGGGUGACCAGGAUUAGGUGGAGGCUCCUUUAGAUGGGGUGCAGGAGGGGGAAGCUGGGGGUCGUGCUCUUAAAGUGGGUCAAGGGUCCAUGACUCCUCCUCCCGGUAUUGCUAAUCUUCCACCUCCCGAGAUUGCCGAUCCUUCAACUGCUGAAGCUGUCGACCCUCCUAAUUUUUAGGUUUAUUUUUUGUAUAAACUCUAAAUUUUCAUCUGUUUUGUAAACAUUUUGAGCAUAAAUUUUAGAUGCUUUCUAUUGGCUCUUCUGUUGUGGUUUUGCUUAUAGAUCGUUUCUGUAAAUUGCCUUAAUGCUUUUAGUUGGCUUUGCCUGCUAGUCCUUUAAUCGACUGAGUAGGAAUAGCAUUUGUUUGUCAUAACCAAAUUUGUAGAUUUGCCUACUGGUCCUUUAGACGACCGAGCAGGAGUAGGCACUCGCUUGCCUUAGUAGAAUUUCAUAAAAUUGCCUGCUGGUCUUUCGUUGACCGAGCAGGAGUAGGCACUCGCUUGCCUUAGUAGAAUGUCGUAAAAUUGCCUGCUAGUUUUUCGUUGACCGAGCAGGAACAAGCACUUACUUGCCUUAGUAAAAUUUCAUGAAAUUGCCUGCUGGUCUUUCGUUGACCGAGCAGGAACAUGUACUUAUUUGCCUUAGUAAAAUUUUGUGAAAUUGCCUGCUGGUCUUUCGUUGACCGAGCAGGAACAAGCACUUACUUGCCUUAGUAAAAUUUCGUGAAAUUGACUGCUGGUCUUUCGUUGACCGAGCAGGAACAUGCACUUACUUGCCUUAGUAAAAUUUCGUGGGCUUGCUAGCAGAGGGAUUCAUGCUGAAUUCAUCUUUAUUGAAAUUUGAAUGCAUUAUAGAAAUGCGGAAUAUAUGCAUGUGUAACAAGUCAUCAUGCAUUUAAUAGAAAUAACUUGUCAAAAUGAAGACUUAGUAGAGCACUUUGCUUACUGGAAAUACUUCUUCAAGUGCUCGGCGUUCUACGACCUCUUCACAUCUCGUCCGUCUAGGUACGCUAACUUGUAAGCUCCUGGUCCAGUCGCUCGUAUCACCCUGUACGGGCCUUCCCAUUUCAGGCCGAGUGUGCCAUGGUUAGGAUCCCUAGUGUUUUGAUUCACCUUCCUAAGCACCCAAUCCCCUGCUCGGAACUGCCUCACGCGUACGUUCUUGUUGUAAUAACGCAUGACCAUUUGCUGACACUGGGCCACCUUCUGCGAGGCCCCUUCACUUUUCUCCUCCAGCAGGUCCAGGUUCAAGCAGAUCUGCUCAUCGUUUUGCUCCUCAUUGAAGUAUUCCGUCCGAUGUGUUCAUACUCCAAUUUCUGCUGGGACUACCGCCUCAUGACCAAAAGCUAAAGCAAACGGGGUUUCCUCGGUGGCGGUUUUGUGAGUUAUCCGGUAAGCCCAUAGUACUCCUGGUAGCUCGUCGACCCAAGCUCCCUUAUUCUCUCCCAGUCUUGUUUUCAGGAGUUUCUUUAUUACUUUGUUGGCUGCUUCCACCUGUCCGUUUGCCUGGGGGUGUGCGGGGGUGCAGAACUUCAGGUCCACCCCCAGGUUCCGGCAAAAUUCUCUGAAGUUGUUGUUGUCAAAUUGCCUCCCAUUGUCUGUAAUGAUGGCAUAUGGGAUCCCGUAUCUGCAGAUGAUAUUUUUCCAAAUAAAAUCCGUCGUCUUUCUCUCCUUGAUUUGGCUGAGGACUCCCACUUCUACCCACUUGGUGAAGUAGUCUAUCGCCACAAUUGCAUGUGUUGCCGCUCCUCGACCCUUAGGUAAUAGACCAAUCAGGUCGAUUCCCCAUUGGGCAAAAGACCAUGGGGAUGUCAUAGUGGUCAGCUUUUCUGGGGGUUGUGCAGGAAUCUCUGAGAAGCUUUGGCAGGUUUUACAGUUCUUUGCCAUCCUUUUCGCAUCCUGGUGCAUGGUUGGCCAGAAAUAUCCUUGCCGGAAUGCCUUGAAGGCUAAAGUUCUAGCUCCCGAGUGAUUGCCACAUAUUCCUUCAUGAAUCUCCCUCAGUACAUAAUCUGCCUCCUCGACAUCCAAACAUCUUAAAAGGGGCAAGGUGAAUCCUCGGCGGUAGAGUACCCCAUCGAGUAGCGUGUACCUGGCGGCUCGGCAUUUUAAUUUUCUUGCUUGCCUCUUGUCCUCCGGCAAAAUGCCAUCGCGGAUGUAUGAGAGAAUCGGGCCCAUCCAGGAUUCUUCGGUACUUACUCUCAUUACCUCUAUUUCCUCCCCUAUACUUGGCGAGGUUCUCACCUCUAGUGGAACCGACUUAGGUAAUUUUGGAUCCGCAAUUGCAGCCAUUCUAGCCAAUAUAUCUGCUCGGUAAUUCUCAUUCCGGGAUAUCUGCUUUACCUCUACCUUUUUUAAAAGCCCAACCAUUUGCUUCGCCUUUUUCAAAUAAAGACCCAACCUCUCUUCCCUUACUUGAAAUUGAUCGUUGAGCUGAUUACAUACUAGCUGGGAAUCUGCUCAGAUUUCUACUCUUUCUGCUCGUAGUGCAUGUGCAAGCCCGAGCCCAGUAAUGAAGGCUUCAUAUUCAGCUUGGUUGUUAGUAAGCUGGAACUCGAAUUUUACUGCAUAGGAUACCUCGAUCCCUUCUAGGCUUCUUAUUAUAACUCAUGCUCCGGAUCCUUGUUCACUACGUGACCCAUCAACCAUUACCAGCCACACCCCCUUUGGAUUCUCCUGUUCUACUGGUUGCUCCUCCUGGACCUCUUCCCCUGGUUGAACACAGUCAACCAUAAAAUCAGCCAGGGCUUGGGCCUUGAUUGCUCCUCGGGGCCUAUAGGAUAUGUCGAAUUCGCUCAGCUCCACGGACCACUUUACUAACCGCCCUGAUGCAUCUGGUUUUUGGAGCAUUUGCCAAAGAGGCUGAUCAGUCAUCACAACUAUUGGGUGGGCCUGGAAAUAUGGUCGGAGUUUUCGUGCUGCCGUUAUUAAAGCCAAUGCCAAUUUCUCCAUCAAUGGAUACCUGGUUUCUGCGUCUACCAGGGCUUUGCUAGUGUAGUAUACGGGGUGUUGUUUUCCUUCUUCUUCUCUGACUAAUAUCGAGCUGGUAGCCCAUUUUGAGAUUGUCAAGUACAAAAACAGCUGGUCACAUUCUCUCGGAGUUGAUAGUAACGGGGCGUGGGCCAGAUAUUCCUUCAGCUGUCCGAACGCCUCCUCACAUUCUGAUGUCCACUCCAUCUUUCUCCAUUUCUUUAUGGUUUGGAAGAAAGGGUGGCAUUUAUCUGUAGUCCGCGAGAUGAAUCGGUUUAAUGCUCCCAAUUUCCCUGUAAGGCUCUGCACCUCCUUAACUGUUCGUGGGGACCUCAUUUCUGUUACCGCCCGUAUCUUUUCCGGGUUGGCCUCAAUCCCUCGGUGGCUCACCAAGAAUCCCAAAAAUUUGCCCGAGCUGACCCAAAAUGCACACUUCUCCGGGUUUAGCUUCAUUUCAUACCUUCUCAUCAAUUCAAAGGUUUCUUCCAAGUGUUUCACAUGAUCCCUCGGUUCUUUAGACUUUGUGAUCAUAUCGUCCACAUAUACCUCUAUAGUAUGACCGAUUACUGGCUUGAAGAUCUUAUUCACCAACCUUUGAUAGGUAGCUCCUGCAUUUUUCAGGCUAAAAGGCAUUACCCUGUAGCAAAACAAACCCAUGUUAGUUAUAAAGGUGGUGUUUUCCUCAUCCUACUCGUCCAUGGGUAUCUGGUUGUAUUCCGAAAAGGCAUCCAUGAAGCUGAGCAGACUGUGACCCGCUGUUGAGUCCACCAAUUGAUCUAUCUUUGGCAGGGGAAAACUGUCAUUCGGGCAUGCUUUAUUAAGGUCUGUGAAAUCCACACACAUUCUUCAUUUCCCGUUGGCCUUCUUUACCAGUACUACAUUGGAAAUCCAUUCCGGGUACUUGGCCUCCCUUAUAAAUCCUACUUUCAACAGCUUUUCCACUCGGCAUUUAUGGCCUCGUACCUUUCCUGGUUAAAGCACCUCUUCUUCUGCCUCACCGGCCUCGCCCCCUUCUUAAUUGCCAACUUGUGGCAAGCUACCCCGCGAUCAAUUCCUGGCAUGUCCUCGUGAGACCAGGCGAAUAUAUCUACAUGAGACUGUAGGCACUUUACCAGCUCGCCUUUUACUGCCCCGGCCAAUCCUGAUCCGAUCUUAACCACUCUGCUUGGGUUACUCUUGCUCACCGCAAUCUCUUCCAACUUCUCAACAGGUUCUUGGCGACCCUUUUUAGAAUCUCCUCGGUUAUCUAGAGAGGUAACCUGUAGCGUCUCCUUGGCCGCUGUAGCAUAACAACUCCUUGCCAUUCUCUGGUCACCUUUUACUACGCCAACAACUCCAUUUACUCUGUACUUCAGUGCCAGAUAAUGCGUGGAUAUAACGCAUUGGCUUACCCUCAUGAACGGUCUCCCCAGUAUCAUCUAGUAAGGGCUUAUUUCUUCUACUACGACAAAGUCCAGCAUCAUCGUUCUUUCAAACGGCUUUGACCCCACGGUAAUCGGGAGUUCGAUAAUCCCCAUGGGAGUUAACCUUCCCCCUCCAAAUCCCUUCAAGGAUGUAUUCGUCCGUUCCAAUUUCAAGUCUGAAAAUCCCAUAUCAUCUAGGGCCGACUUAAACAGGAUGUCAACCGAACUGCCCGUGUCCACCAGUAUUCGUCGCAAUUCUGUACCAGCCACCAUUGCCUUAAUCACCAGUGCAUCCUCAUGAGGAUAUAAAAUACCCUCUUCGUCGUCAUUUGUCCACAUAAUGGGAACUUGCCGCACUUUUGCCCUCUUGGCUGCUGGCAAAUUGAAAAGCACUUCUUUGCUGGUCAUGGCGUAUCUCCCAUAGUUCUUUCGUGCUCUGUUUGAAUCCCUAGCCAAUGUUGGCCCUCCUGCUAUCACACGGAUAAUCGACUGUUCACGUUCCAGGCCCCUCUCGGCUCCUUCAUCCCGCGUGUACUGUGAUUCAAUGACGGGGGACACUCCAUCUACAUAUUCAUCCAAGUAACGGUUUCUCACCAAAUCCUCCACCUGAAUCUUUAGGUCACGACAUUGGCUGAUAGUGUGACCGUGAGUGUCGUGGAAUUUGCAGAACCUGCUCUUAUCACGCCAGUGAGCAGGUUUUGUUAUAGGGGCCGGAGGGUAUAGCAAGCCACGUCCUUCGAUCCUCUCAUACAAUUCCUCCAUGGAGAUUUUUAAUGGGGUGUACUGUCUAUACGCCAAGCUCUGGUCAACCAGUUGAACUACUCGGCUAUCAUGGAUAUCACCCCGGGCUGGUAUCGUAGGUAGCUGAUCUGGUCGUCCUGCCCUGGAGUUAGGUGUAUGUAGUGCUCUGGGAGCGUUAUGAUAAAGGUGGGCAGCCAUCUGCCUGAAUUCUCGUUGCCGCUCCGGGAAUGGAGGGCGCGGAGGUUGAGCCCGGCUGUUUUGGAACUGUUGUGAUCUCUGAGCUAUGGGGUAAGGGCGGGACCGAGCUGAUAUUCCGCCCAUUGCUGAAGAUUCCCCAGCUCGCCUUCCCGAUCCGCUCCCGUUCGGGGUUUUCCGCUCCAUUCGUCUCAGCAUUUCCAGCUAUUCUCUUUUUAUCCUUGCCGAUUUCUCCUCUUCGAUUUCUAUAUCUCUCCUCGCCUGAUCAUACCCCGCCGAAUAAUUCUGUACCAAGGGACUUCUCAAGUUAUACCACAGUCGGCCUAUUCUCACCCCUUCUUUUAAUCCCCUCAACGCCUGCGGGUGAUUGAAAGCUCCCAAAUCCAGCACGGCCUGGUGGUAUCGUUUUACAAAAUCCCGAAGGGAUUUAUGUUCCUCUUGCUUCAUCCCCAUCAGUUCUAUCAUAUCAUCCUCUGGGGCCACUGCUCCUCGGAAUUGCUCCGCCAACUCUUGGCACAUCUCCUCGUGGCAGCUUGCGGUACCAUUCUCGGGCUCGUCCCUCUAGUGUCAAUGGGAACACCCUGCACCUCUGAGCUGGUGUCAACCCCUGCACACCCGUCAUGUCGUUGAAACGUUCAAUAUGCACCAGCGGGUCAUUUCGCCCGGAGUAUUUGAGGUCGGGGAAGCGGAAAUCUCUUGGGAUUACAGUACUCAUGAUCUCAGUUGACAACAGAGACUCUUCAUCUAGCAUUAUCCUCCAGUUCAGGGGUUUUCUCUUGCCCUGAAUCUCCUCCAUUAUCUGCGCCAAUCUACACACCUUUCCCUCCAACUCUACAGCACGGUCAGGGUCGCGCAUAGCUACCUGAUCUCGUUCCUGCUAGGCAUUCUGCAACCGCUGUCUGAGCUCUCCUUCAUCAACACUGGCUCCUCGGCCAUCAAUCUCCUGCACCCGUCCGGGGCGAGGUUGGUCCCUCCCUUCAUCCACGCGCUCUCCUGGAACCCGACCAGUACUUCUAUGGGGGUGCACCCCAUGAGGUUGGUCCAUCGGUGGAGGGAUUUCCUUGACUCUACGCCUCCGGAGGCUGGGCUCUGCUCCAACUUCGUCUCUCCCCACGGUGGUUUCACAAUCCCUUCUCCGCUCAUCCCUCAGCUCAUACAGUAUGGCCGUGAGAGUUUCCAUUUGUUUCUCCAUCCGCUCCAGUCGAUCUUGCAUCAUCCUUUCUCGAGCUUCUUCGCAAUCUCCCGGAGAGUGAUUGUCUCAACAGUCUCAUUGUCAUCCCUUAAAGUAUCCAUCCUUGAGGCAUCUAUAUCCAACCGUUCGCUGCUUUUCUGGUGACUACUGAUUUGGUGGUAGCUUUUUAUUCAGCUCCCCACAGACGGCGCCAAAAUGUUGAUGCUGAAAUCUGCUCGUCCUUUGCCCGACCAGAUCUUUACACCAACGCUUCUGUAAUCGGUAGUGAGGAUGUCAACUUCUUUUCGCCCCAACGACCGCUCUAGUCACUGAGAUUGGAAUAGGCCUUCCUUCUCCCACUAAGCCUGCGUUCACAAAAGUGGAUCAGAGACGCCGGUGGUUUUACCGGCGUAAACCCUCCGAUGCCUAAGUUAGCACAAGGUGUUUACGGAAAAACGGUGCAAUUUGGAUUCGAUAAAUUGCUUAUAAUUGGCUCACAGUUUGUACUAAAAACAGUCUGGUUUCAAUUUGGCAGAGUUUUCCCUUCUUCCCUUUUUUUUUUUGUCCCUUUCUUCAUUAGUUUCCUUAUCUUUUAUAGCCAUUGUUCCACGUUUCUGUUUACCCUUCAUCCCCCCUCUAUCUCGGAUCGUGGCAGCCCCAUGGGAUUCCAACUGCUAUAUUGUGGGUAAACGUGGGACACCGUAUCUCCCUCGGUGAUUCUGGGCAUAGCGCAACUGUCGUGAUUUCGUGAGAUUGUGUUCCCGCUUUUUGGGGAAUGAGUAUCUGCUCGGUAUUUGUCUCUGGUCGGUCCUUGCUCGUAAAAGACUCAUUAUCAGUGUUCUGCUCGUACCAUUUGGCUGAGGUGAUCCAUGCCGGGGUGGAAAUGAUGGCAUGGCUGAGCUGGUGCUCUUAGUUACUUAACAAACAUUCUAUUCUCUUCUUUACAAGGUGGAUAUGAUUUUAAGGUCACAUGUAUUUAGAGGCGAAAUUAGGACUUCUUGCAAGCUGGUGGUUAGACUAUAUUUUUUUUUAAGUUAAAAAAAGAAAAAGAAUCUUAAAGUAAAACUAUUGAAUUAAACCACAACAAUAAGUUCACAUUUUUUAGGUUUGAAAAUAUUUUUUGAAUUAUGUUUAUUCCAAAAAAAUCAAAUUUCAAAAUUGUGACUACGAUACCCCAUGAUUGCCAUACUCCACAACCUGUCACCGUUAGAUGGUUCUAAAUUAUUUACUUUAAUUAUUUUUUUAAUUGUCUAAUGAUACUUAGUCUAGGGAGUACGAUACCCUUAGAAAUCAUAGAUAGACACUUUACAAAAUUUAAAGCUAAAUGAGUAAUAAAUAUCUUGUAAUAAUUAGUUUACUUGAGACCAAAAAUAGAUUUCUAAAACAAGAUGGAGUGGGAAAGAAUUUGGGAAAAAUGACCGUGACCAAAUUUUAAAACAACUUGAGUGAUAAACUUGUAAAUUAUGUUGUGGUAUUUCGUAAAAAAAUAACAGUGAUAGCUAGUUUUAUAAAUACUGGUAAUUUUGUGAACAACAUAGUAAAAAAAAAAACUAAAUAAUAAUAAUAAUAGUAAUUAUUAUUAUUAUUAUUUUUUUUUUUGACGUAUCUUGGUUAUUUGGAAGUCAACAUAAAUUGUAUAUUUGCAAGGACAAGAAACUGUAAUUCAGAAAUUCGAGGAGGCAUGGUCAAAUUUCGACACUCUAAAGAAGCUGGGAGCAUCCAUUCUCCAUGGAGUUGAUGCAACUGAAAUGAAGGAACAUCCUGAAUUGAGUAAGCGGAAAUUUGAUAGAAUAAUCUUCAACUUCCCUCAUGCUGGCUUUCAUGGAAGGGAAGACGACGACAAAUUUUUCGAUGAGCUACCUAGUAAGUCCAAUGGACAUAUGUGUCAAUAUAGUGAGUUAAAAAUGGUUAUAUAUAAUAAGAUGGAACUUGAUAUAUAAAGUGAUCCAUAUGAAGAAACGAAUGUUUUUCAUUUAUUAAGUAAAACGUUAUACAUUGAGCAUAUUUAUAGAUGCAGAUAUUACAAUUUUUCAAAAAUUAGAUACACGUAUUACGGAAGGAUCUCACCAACCGCGUCGUUGCCGUUUGGUGCAGAUCGUGUCUUUGACAACUUCAAUUCGAUGUCGUUUUAUUGACAUUCUCAACACUCCCUGUAAUACCCCAAAUCUCCUGAGGGUAUUUAAAUAUUUUUAAUUUUUAGUGAUCAUUUUAACCCUAUGUCUUUCCCAUUAUAAGAGAGGGAGGGGGAGAGAGAGAUCGAUUGAGGAAAAGAAAUGACAGAAGAGAGAGAGAGAGAGAGAGAUGGAGAGAAAAUAGAGAAAAGAAAAGAAAAAGAGAAGAAGAAUUAUUCUUAGUUCUGCCAUAGGCGACACAUGGGAUCAAGUUGUAUUGUUUGAAUUGGAUAUUGUUGGGAGAAGUUUUGGAGGUAAGUUUUAAUUCUUGGUUUUCUUUAUUAAUUCGUUAUGGAGAAACAUGAUUAGAUAUUUGCAAUAGAAGUAGAAACCUAAGAUUUUACAGGAAAUAUGCUGACAAUGCAUUAUUACGAAAAUCAUAGUAAUUUGUACAAAUUGAUUUUAAUUUUGAUUUUUGGACAUGUUAAGCUAGACGUCUUAUAGAAUGUUUUGAAACUUGUUUCAAGUUAAUCGGAUAAGAUUUCAUUUAGUUACGAUUUUUCAAACUUAGGUCUAAAAGCCUGGAAAUUUCUGAUUUCAGUGAAUAACAUGAAUUACGAAAUUAUUUUUACCAUAGCUAGACUUCUUCAAAAAUUAUGAAAUUUGGAUCAGUGAUUUUUAUUUAUGUCUAAUAUGAUUCUGUAUGUUUUUAUGAUUUUAUGAUAAAACAAUAAAUUGUUUUGUAUUUCUAAACAAGUAUGUUCAAAACAGAAAAUUGUUUGAUAGUAUUGAUGAUGUCUGAAAUGUCAAUUUUUUUUUUAUAGUUUUUAAAGGAAUUAAGUUAUGAAAUUUUUAUCAAAGAAUUUUCAAUAUGUCAGCAUAUGGUCUAUAAAAUUUUAGAUUUUUCCAAUGAGAGAAUAAUUUAUUAAAAAUAGAAAACAAUGACUGUUUCGUUUUGAGGGUCGAACAUUGAGGACAUUUGAGGUUGAGUUUAGGAGCUAUUUAAAAUGAGAUAUUUGAGAAAAUUAAAGUUUAUGAUUGAGACUUGAUUAUAUCUUAUGAAAAUUUUAUUGAUAAUUUUAGGUUGACGAUAUCAGUACGCAUUUGUUACAUGAUGAUGCCAAGAAGUAAAUUAGACUUCAAAAUAAAUCACAAUAAACAAUAUGUAUAUGUUUGACUUGUUUGAAAAGUCUAUUUUUGAUAUUUACAUAUGUAGAUUUAUAUGUUUCUGCCCAUGUGUUUAUGUGAUGUAUUGUUAUGUGUUGAGCGUGAUUAUGUACAUGGGUAUAUGUAUGUGUGAAAUUUAAUUGGCAUAAGCACAAAAAUGCAUUGAGUUUUCUAUGAAUGAGAAAGUGGAUAUUAACAAAUGAAAUUUCUACUUUAGUAAACCCGUUCUCUAAAUCUUAUUUGGACCAUAACUUAGUAAACCCAUUCUUAGUUAGAGAACCCGCCAGCAACCCAUUCUCUUAUUUAUUUCGUAUCCUUCCCUCACAUUUUUAAUUGGCUUUUGUAAUUAAUAAGAAUAUCAACCUAAUAUACCAAAAAGAACAUUAUAAGUAUCAUAUAUUAAUGUAAAAAGAUACAUAUGUUAUAUAUAUUUUUUAUUUUUCUUGGUUUGUUAAGGUAAACAUUAUCAAACUUUUUUUUACUAAUUAAAUAAUUUAUCUAUAACUUGUCAUGUGUUUAACCAGUAAAAUUUAAGUAUUGUUAAUAUUUAUAAGUUAUAUAUGUCAAAAUAUCAUAUUUCAGAUGUUUUAAUUUCGAAAAAUAAACAACUUAACGCUUAUAUUCAGAUAUUGAAAAAAGAAAAAUAAACAUGUUAUUCAAAUAUAUGUAUUUAAACCUAUUAAAACUUUUGUUAAAUUCAAACCAAUUUAGAUUUCAGACAAAAAAAAAAAAACACGCUACCUAAAUCAUGUAAAUAAAUUAAAUACAUAAAUUAUGUGAUUUUAAAGGGUUCAUUUCAGCAAUUUAGCUGAGUCGUGUACUGCCUUUUGUGAGUUACAAGACAAAAGUUUACUUUCAAAUUACAGUUUAAAAUAUGUGUAAUUUUAUUUAAUAAUUGACUUUAAAAAUCCAUUACUGAAAAAAAAAUUUAACGUAUUGUGUAGGACAACAAGAUUAGAAAAGAAAAGAAGAAGAAAUUAAAAUAAAAAUAACUGAAAAAAAAAAGAUUUUAUGACGAGAUUAGAGAGUUGUCAAUAGUCCAACUCAUGUCAAAAAAAUUUAUUCAAGUCGAUGUGGGCACAAAUGGGCUUCCAAAAUAAAAUAUUUAUUACGCUUGGGCUUUGGGUUGUGGGCAAUUAAAAGUUACCAAGCCAUGGUAUUGUUCUUCAUUUCUUAGAAAACAAUAGCGACCGUUUUUCACAAGAAUUGGUCUUAGUUACUAUCUUUUCUGCACUCCUCUCUGUAUUCUCUUGUUAAUAUUCUGUUUUUCUUCAGUUUUUAUAAUGAAAAUGAUUGUGCAUCUCGUGAAUGUAAAUCUUUUUUAUGUUGAAUCAUGCAAAACCUCUUGUCUCAUAUGUUUUUGAAUAAUGAUUUGUCCCGUAGUUUAUUUUUUUAUAUUAUAGUAAUGAUGUGUUAUUCUUUGUGCUAAUUUUAUGCACCUAUUACUAUGGUUUUUUCGGUACUGCCUUUUUUUUUAUUUUUUAUUUCGUUUAAUGUCUUCCAACGAAGUUUUGCUGGGAAUUUAUACAAUUACUGAAUUAAGCUACUUUAUAUAUGUUGAAUAUAUAAAAUAAAAAAGACUCAACCAUAGGAUAGGAGUUCGGAAGGAAUCAUUUUCAUUUUAUAUGAUAAUCGCAUUAGUAACUUAGCCAGGAAACUUUGUGUGCACUGAUUGCCUCUAGAUUGUAAAUUCAAUUGAUCUCGUCUUGGUUGAAGUAGAUGAUAGUAAAUAGUAUCUGAGUUUCAUUUCAGAUUCCAAAAACAAUCCUCCAUGUGAAUGGUUAAGUAGAGAUUCACAUUGCUUUCUUUUUCUUUAGAGGAAUGGCUGACUCCUUUGAUCAUGAAAUUAUAUCACGGCUAUCACAAAAACUCGAGUAAUUCUAUUCAUAUAAUCAAAAUAGAGUUGAGUUCGAGCUCCUUCAUUUUAACCGAUUUAUUAUGAUGCAUAACCACAAAUGAUGAGAUGGUGUCGGAUAUGAUAAUGGGAAUUAGUUGUCAGCGAGAAAAUUAAUUCAUUGAUCUGAUCUUUGUUCUUGUUUAGCUUAAGUUUGAUUCAUGAGUCUUUAAGUCUGAGUUAGGUCUUGGGGUGUGAUUAAUCUAGUAGUCAUAAGGGUUAAUUUCACAACACUCUCCUAGUCCUUGGAAGUAAUUUAAUGAAAGGUGCAUCAAUUUGUUUGUGCAGCAACUGUAUGGCUAGAGAGUUUCAUGCUCUUGGUCUUCGCAGUUUUCUUAUUUGUAUGGUUUGGUUUUCUUUAUUUUUUGCCGACAAAUAAACAAAUCAACUUGCAAUAAAAUAAAUAUUAAAAUAAACUGAAAAAGCUCGAAUGCCGACAAAUUCCAGGUUGUUCAGUUCAAAAUUAAUUCUAUACUAAGUAUGAAGAAUAAAAUAAAAGCAAUAACUUGCAAAUUGAAAAUUCUGCAUUCCUAAACCAAAGUCCAAACAGGGGUAAACAUGUCUGCAAACAUAAACAAUGAUCAAACACUGUAGGCAGAAGCAUCGUUCUGCUUUGUAAAUUAGACCUGCUGGCGUGAUAUGGCGGAGGCUGCGGUGAACUUUGCUAUAGAGACCUUGGGUCCUUUGCUUGUCGAAGAAAUCAGAUUGUGGGGAGGUGUUAGAAAAGAAGUUCAAAGUAUCAAAAGCGAACUGGAGAGUCUCAGAUCUUUCCUGAAAGACGCGGAUGCAAGGGCAGCAGUCGAAGAAUUAGAAGGAGGCGGUGAGGAAAGUGUCAGAACUUGGGUGAAACAACUGAGGGAUGAAGCUUAUCUCAUUGAAGAUGUGAUCGACGAGUACACACUCAUGGUGGCAAAACUCCCUCAUGGGAGUGGCCUCGUUGGUGUUCUCCAUAGAAUCAGUCGUUUCAUAAAGAAGCUGAAGCUGCGGCGUGGAGUUGCUUCUGAGAUUCAAGAUAUCAAAUCAGCACUUGCUGCUAUAAAGGGAAGGGGAGAAAGCUAUCGAUUCAGAUCUAGUGAUGAACCAUCGAGCAGUGGAACCAGAAAUGUUAUCCCACAUGACUCUCGAGUUGGUUCCUUUUUUGUUGAAGAUGAUGAAGUUGUGGGCAUCGAAUCCAUUAAAGAUAAAUUGAUUGAUUUGAUGGUGAACGGAAGAUCCGAACGUUCAGUGGUUGCUGUGGUGGGUGAAGGAGGACUAGGCAAGACCACUCUUGCCGGAAAACUUUUUAACAAUGAUGGUUUAAAAACUCACUUCAGUAGCCGGGCUUGGGUCACCGUUGGGAAAGAAUACAACAAAAAUGAUUUGUUGAGGACAGUUAUAAAGGAGUUUCACCGUUUCUCAGGGCAACCUACUCCAGAGGAGACAGGCAACAUGGGAGAGAUGGACCUGAUCACCACGCUGAGGGACCACCUGAAGGACAAGAGUUACAUGGUUGUGUUCGACGAUGUUUGGAAGAUUGAUUUCUGGGGAGACGUGGAGCAUGCUUUACUUGAUAACAAGAAAUACAGCAGGAUAAUUGUCACAACACGGCUCAUGAAUGUCGCUAAGUAUUGCAAAUCAUCUUCCUCUGUUCACGUCCAUGAGCUUGAAACUUUGCCUCUAUAUGAGGCGUGGAAACUUUUUUGUAGAAAGGCGUUCGGACCAAGCUCCGGAGGCUCUUGUCCUUCAGAGUUGAAGGAGUUGUCCCAGGACAUCCUUGCAAAAUGUGGAGGUUUGCCUCUUGCUAUCGCGGCCAUAGGUGGACUUCUUUCAACCAAGAACAGGGUUGUAUCUGAAUGGAAGAAAUUAUUUGAUCGGUUGGGCUCAAUCUUAGGAGGUGAACCCCAUCUAAAAGACUGCAACAGAGUUUUAUCUGAAGGGUGUCAUGAUCUUCCUCACCAUCUCAAAUCAUGUCUUCUCUACUUUGGCUUAUUUCAAGAGAGCUGCAAAGUUAACUGUGCUACACUCAUCCGUUUGUGGAUAGCUGAGGGCUUUGUCCAGUACAGCAACCGCCCCACAUCUGAACAAGUUGCAGAAGAAUACUUGAAUGAGCUCAUUGACAGAAGCUUGGUUCAAGUUUCAGAGAGAGAUAUUUCUGGACGAGCUAGAAUCUGCCAAGUUCAUGAUCUUAUGCACGAGAUCGUCAUCAGAAAAACUGAAGAAUUGGGCUUUGGUCGUGUGCUGAACGGAGAGGACUUGAGUCAUUGCAGUAAAACUCGACGCAUAACUAUACAGAGAAGUAUUGAUGAUAGUGCUUUAGAGAGCAUCAAGGACUGGAAGGUCCGUUCUGUUUUUCUUUUCAAUGUAGAUAAGCUGCCCGACUCUUUCAUGAAUACAAGUAUUGCCAAUUUCAAGCUCAUGAAAGUACUAGAUCUGGAAGAUGCUCUUAUAGUUUACCUUCCUGAAGGAGUGGCAAGCUUACUCAAUUUACACUACUUGAGUUUGAGAAAUACAAAAGUAGAAAUAAUUCCCAAGUCCAUUGGAAAUCUUCUCAGUUUAGAGACUUUGAAUAUGAAAAAUACUUUGGUGAGAGAACUGAUUAAACAAAAACAAACUUUAUGCCCUUAAUCGUGCAUUUCCAAAUAAACACAUAUUUUAGGUAAUUUCGAAAUUUACCAUGAUCUCCCAUGAAUCCGACCUUGGAAGCUUGUUAUGGAGCUUUAUCGAGUUGCUACAAGCCUGAUCUAACUUCAGAAUUCCGCUUCCUUUGCUUCAGUUCCAGAAUCGGCUUUUCUCAACAAGUUACUGUACACACACGGGAGAGAAACGGGAGAGAGAGAGGUGCACUGCACUCGUGCCACAGAUUUCUUGAACAGUGAACUUCCAAUGGGCUGAAGUUACUUAAAUACAGUGGUUGAGCGCAAGGACCCCUCAUGUGUUAGUACAAAAUUGCCCAUCCCAUUAUGAGCUAAAUAACACAAUCAAGGAUUAUACUUGUCUAUAAUAUACUACUGUCUAGGGUAUGUCAAAAUCAGACUCAUUAACACAAUAUUUGAUCACUUAAUAAAUGAGUCUGUCAAAAUUGCUCCAUAAUAUUUGACAAUAGUCACGUAUUAAUUCAGUAAAAUAUAGAAAACAAUUAGAAUGAUUUAUGCCAGUCCACAUAAUGUGAGAAAUAAAUCUAACAAUCUCACACUUAGACGGCAGAAAUCACUCUAAGGAUAAAUUUAAAAAUAAAAUCAGAUGUAGAAAACAACCGAAUUAAUCAAUAUGUGACUAUAACAAAAGGUCAAAUGCAAGCAAUCACCCAAAACAUAAAUAAGUCCAAAGGUGCCAUAAAUAUCAAGUCAUAUGUGCACCGACAGGAUGCUCCACAUAACAAGACACUUAUAAACACGUGACUAUGCAGUAGUAUAAAAGUAUAAUUAUGGAAAUAACAUGACAAUGUGAUCAACAUGCUCAUUUCCACAAAGUCCACAUGUCUAGCAAAAUGAGACGAAAACAAUAUGUCUCCUAGACCAUUGCUUCUUUAUAACCAUAAUAAGACUCUAGCAAAAUGUCUCGAGAAGCGGGCUUCCCUUUUAAUCAUAAUGAGACUAAAUCAAAAUGUCUCAAGGAAGUCGUGCUUUCUUAUAAUUAUAAUGAGACUAAAUCAAAAUGUCUCAAGAUGCACACGGAAGGUAAGUCAUAAUGCUUCAGUCUUUAAUGUCCAUAUUGAGACUGAGCAAAAAUGUCUCGGACCAUAAUAUCCUCAUUCUAUACAUAAUGCCAUACGCAGCCAAAUGUGUACACAAUAUAUGGCAUAUCAAUAUCACAUAACAACAUGCAUGCAUGAUAACAAAACGAGUAAUACAUAAUCUCAUUUAAGUUGCAACUCAUAAUACAAACCAGAACUCCCACUGACUCAGCAUAUAUAAGUGGAUUCUAAUAAUCUCAUAUGCGUCACAUGCUCCCUAAAUACCUUUGGAGCUAAAGCUUUAGUAAGUGGAUCGGCUAACAUGAGUUCUGUAGGAAUAUACUCUACUGAUACAUAAGAUAGAGAAAUUUUCUCUCUCACAAAUAAGUAUUUAAUAUCAAUGUGCUUGGAACGUGAGGAACUCCCUGUAUUGUGAGAAAAAGAAACAGCUGCAGAAUUAUCACAGUAUAUUUUUAAUGGCCUCGGUACGGCCAAUAUACAAUCUAGCCCUGUGAUAAAAUUCUGCAUCCAUAAAGCUUGACGUGUAGCCUCAAAACAUGCUACAUAUUCUGCUUCCAUUGUUGAAGAAGCUAUGAGUGUCUGCUUGGCACUUUUCCAUGAUAUAGCUCCUCCUGCCAUCAUAAAGAUGUAACCAGAUGUGGAUUUCUUGUCUUCCAAGCACCCUGCGAAAUCAGCAUCAGAAUAUCCAACUAUAUUCAAAUAGUCAGAUUGCUGAUAUGUCAAUACAAAAUCUUUAGUGGCUUGCAAAUAUCUGAGUACUUUCUUUGCAGCCUUCCAGUGUUCAUAUCCAGGAUUGCUCAGGUAUCUUCCAAGUACUCCCACUGGAAAAGCAAUAUCAGUGCGAGUACAGACUUGAGCAUACAUCAAGCUACCCACAACAAAUGCAUACGGGACUGUUUGCAUUCUAGCUUUGUCGACAUCAUUAUCGGGACAUUGAGACUUGGAAAUCUUGUCACCUUUUGACAUUGGAGCUUGCCCAGGAGCACAAGACUGCAAAUUGAACCUUUUCAAAAUACGAUCAAUGUAAGUCUUUUGAGACAAUCCUAGAAUUCCUCUAGAUCUGUCACGAAGAAUCUCUAUCCCUAAUACAUAAUGGGCUUCACCAAGAUCCUUCAUAUCAAAGCUGUAUGACAACAUUUGCUUUGUCUCAAGUAAAAAAUUAGUGCCAUUAGCAGCGAGCAAGAUAUCAUCCACAUAAAGCACCAAAAUGAUAUACUUGCUCUCACUAACUCUCAAGUAUAUACACUGAUCAACAACAUUCUCCUGGAACCCAUAAGAGGUGACAAUAUCGUGAAAUUUCAAAUACCACUGUCUGGAUGCCUGUUUAAAUCCAUAAAUGGACCUUUUAAGCUUACACACCAUGUUUUCUCUAUCAGUCUCAACAAAACCAUCAGGUUGCACCAUGUACACAUCUUCAGACAAGCUCCCAUUGAGAAAAGCUGUCUUCACAUCCAUCUGAUGCAAUUCUAAAUUGAAAUGAGCUACCAAUGCCAUGAUAAUACGAAAAGAGUCUUUGGUAGAAACAGGAGAGUACGUUUCAGUGUAAUCAAUGCCUUCUCUUUGACUGAAACCCUUAGCCACAAGCCUGGCCUUGUACCUCUCUACCUGACCUCUGGCAUCUCUCUUGGUUUUGAACACCCAUUUGCAACCAAUUGGUCUACAUCCAUCUGGCAACUCAACUAAAUCCCAAACCCCAUUAUGAUACAUAGAUGCCAUCUCAUCAUGCAUCGCAUGUAUCCAAGAUGAUGAUUCUGAACAACUGAUGGCCUCUUGAAAGGUAAUAGGAUCAGAUGAUGAGUCAGCAUUAAAAUCAUGUUCCUGCAAGUAAACAACAUAAUCAUCAGGAAUUGCAGGUCUCCUGAUCCUCUCUGAUCUCCUCAAUUGCACAUCAGUAACAUCAUCCACUACAAUCAUAGGCUCCAUAUCAUGAUGAAGUUCAGGAUCAACUGAAGAAACAUCAAUGUGUGAUAAUCCCAUCGCAGAAGUCGGAAAAGAUAGAAUAGGCAAAACCACACGUUCUUCUCUUAAUGUAAGACUGCGAGGCUCAGAACUCACACCAUUGUGAUCAUCCUCAAAAUAAAUGGCACGAUCAGACUCAAUGAUUCUAGUAGUGUGGGAAGGACAAUAAAAUCUAGAACCCAUUGAGCCUAUACAAUAGCCAAUAAAAUGACCACUAAUGGUUUUCGAAUCAAGUUUCCUUGAUUGUGGAUUAUAGGGCCUCACUUCUGCUCUGCAUCCCUGGACAUGGAAAUGACGAAGACUCGGUCUCUUCCCUGACCACAAUUCAUAAGGAGUUUUGGGCACCGACUUACUAGGUACCUGAUUCAAAAUGUAAGCUGCAGUUCUUAAGGCUUCACCCCACAGAAAAUCUGGUAAGGUGGAGUUACUCAGCAUACACCGCACCAUGUCAAGAAGGGUACGAUUUCUCCUUUCUGCAAUUUCAUUCUGUUCAGGAGUUCCGGGCAUUGUAUACUGGGCUUCUAUUCCACAUUCCUGAAGAAAUUUAGCAAAAGGUCCAGGAUUACGCCCAGUUUCAUCAUAUCGCCCAUAGUACUCACCACCUCUGUCUGAUCUUACUGCUUUAAUUUUCUUGCCCUUUUGGAUCUCAACAUUAGCCUUAAAGGCUUGAAACACAGAUAAAGAUUCAAACUUUUCAGUAAGAAGUUCAACAUGACCAUAACGAGAAAAGUCAUCGAUGAACGUGAUGAAGUACUUAUAACCUCCAAUAGCAAUAGGAGUAAAUGGCCCACAGAUGUCUGUAUGUACCAACUCCAACACCUGUUGACUCCUCCGAGUUCUCUCUUUUCUGGCUUUGGCAGUAAGUUUGCCUUUGAUACAAUCAACACAAGUGCCAAAAUCAGAGAAAUCUAAAUUAUGAAGAAUGUCAUCUUUAAUGAGCCUUUCCAUCCUCUGUUUAGAAAUGUGACCUAACCGUUUAUGCCACAACAUAGAGGAAUUUUCAUUAACCCUCGCACGAUUAGAGCUAACAACAUUCAUAACAUGAGCAUUGGAUGAUGAUUCAACAGCACGAGAAAAUAAAUCAAUCAUAUAUAAGCCAUCAUAUAGAGUGCCAGAACCAACUAACUCUGAAUUGCGGAAUAAGUAAACUUUUCUAUCACCAAAAUGAAAAGUAUAGCCACAUCUAUCCAAAAUAGAUAUAGAUAUCAAGUUUCUCCUUAUAGAAGGAAUAUAAGUCGUAUCUAACAGAUCCAAAAAAUAGCCUGUGGCUAGAUGUAGUCUGACAACUCCUAUACUUUCAACUUUGGCUGUCACUCCAUUGCCCAUGUGAACUAUCAACUCCCCUUCAUUGGGCUCCCUCCUGCUUUUGAAUUCCUGUAAGGAAUUCGUUAUAUUAAUGGUUGCACCAGUAUCCAACCACCAAGUAUCAGAAGGAACAUCAACUAAAUUAGAUUCAAAGCCUACAAAGGCUACAUGAAUACCUUUCUUUUCCAACCAUGCUUUGAAUCCCCUGCAUUCAGCUCUAUUGUGCCCAGGUUUCUUACAAAAAUGGCACUUUCCCUUAAAGUUCUCAGAAGUGGAACCAAAAGUGGUAGAAGAAUUACCACGUGAAGUUUUCUUUCCAAACUUUUUCUUCUUGAAAAACUUAUUGCUGCCCUUUGAAGAGCCUUUCUUCACACUCCCACUCUCUUGAGUAGUUGCCACCAUGACAGUGUGAGAUUUCCCCUUCUUCAAUGAUUCCUCUUCUUGAACCACAUAAGCAGUCAACUCAGUGAUAUUCCAAGUGUCUCUCUGAGUAUUGCAUUGGCUUCUCAAAUUGCCAAAUUGUGGUGGAAGGGAUUCAAGGAUUUGGAAGACUAGGUAGUCAUCAGGCAGAUUGACAUCCAUGUCCUUUAACUUCUUAUGGUAACUGGUCAUCUUAAGGAUGUGCUCUCUGACCCCAGAAACACCAUCAUACUGGGUAUUAGCAAGCAGCCUCAGAUAGUUACCCUUUUCUGCCUUAUCUACCUUCUUAAAAGUUCUUCCAACAGCUGCCAAGUAAUCUUUGGCCUUAUCACAUGCAUGAAUGCUAUCUCUAGUUGUUCUAUCAAUGAUGUAUUUCAUUGUAUCCAGACAGUGUCUAUUGGAUUCAUCCCAAGCUGCCCACUCUGCUUUUCCAGCAGCAGUGCUCUUAUCUGUGGGCUUGGCUGGUUCAUCAACUCUUAAUGCCAAGUCUCUAUUCAAUGUAGACAGAUAAAACAAAAUGGACUCACACCAGUCCUCAAAAUUUGUCCCAGUUAAAUUCUUGAGGGAGGCUACUUGGAGAAAUGAGAGAAUAUCUAGAGCUGAGGAAGCAAUAACAAAAGAAUUAUCAAGCAUGCAAAAAAUUAAAAUCAUGCUAUACUCAAUUACUCUUCAUUCUAAGUUUCUCCAAUAGCAACACAAUAUGUUAGGCAUCCUUUAACAAUAUAGGAGUGCACUAACCUAAAGAUAAAGCAGACAAGUUGAAUAUAACACCAACAUUGACCUAUUACCGACAGGGUAAUCAAGCCACUCAGUAGAAAAUACUCAACAAAUCUCUUUAUCUUCCCAAGUAUCCUACCAAGUAGUGAUUUUCCGACAAGGAAGUAUCAUCACCCGUAUGGAUCUUGGUAAUAACAAUAACAAUUCAUCGCAAAAUUCAUAAUCAAUAAUGACAAAUGGGCAUCUAAUUGCAAAAUACGAAAUAAUUUAUCAUGAUUGGCCCUACAAUAAGCAGAUACACAAUCACUCUAAAUUGUAGUUUUGCAUCAUAUAUAUAUUUCAUACAUUAACAAAAUUGAGGCUAAAUAAACUUUGUCAAACGCAAUUAAAGUUUCUACUAAGAUAUUAAAUCAAAAAAAAUAUCUACACGCCUCAAUAAAAUAUAUGAAUUUUAUGCCCAUAAUAUCCAACAAUGAUGGAUUAUUAUAAAUUCUAAAUUCUAAAAAAUCGCCAAAAUUGUAAGGCUUUUGGACUAAAGUGACGAAUUUUCAGAAUUAUGAUUACUGUUUUAAAUAUUAAAACUAUUGGCCCAAACUGUAAAUAAAAUAAAAUAAAAUGUUGGGCCAUAAUAUAAUUUAUCAUAAUUAAAGGGACCAAAUGAUGUUUGACCACGCUGACCUUCGGUCAAGGACCAUUAUGAAAAUUUUGCAAAUAUUUUGGGCCAUAAUGACAUUUCGUAUAAAGUUUAGGGUAUGUCAAAAUCAGACUCAUUAACACAAUAUUUGAUCACUUAAUAAAUGUCAAGGACCAUUACUUGUCCAUAAUGUCAAGGACCAUUACUUGUCCAUAAUAUACUACUGUCUAGGGUAUGUCAAAAUCAGACUCAUUAACACAAUAUUUGAUCACUUAAUAAAUGAGUCUGUCAAAAUUGCUCCAUAAUAUUUGACAAUAGUCACGUAUUAAUUCGGUAAAAUAUAGAAAACAAUUAGAAUGAUUUAUGCCAGUCCACAUAAUGUGAGAAAUAAAUCUAACAAUAACUUUCAGUUGAGAUCAGGAAUCUUAAAAGGUCUCGUUAUCUAAUGGUGUAUCAGUACAAUUAUACCGCAGGUGCAACAGUAGCAGAAGAAGCAGCAGUAAAAUUACACGAGGGCUUUGGGUCUCUAACGAAUCUGCAGAAGUUGUGUAUUAUAGAUGCUGACUCUGAAGCGCUCAAAGAGCUUAUGAAGCUAAGGCAGUUAAGAAAGUUGAGCAUGAGGCCCCAAAAUGGAAGUGGCAAGGAUCUGUGUGCUUUGAUUGCAAAUUUCGAAAACCUAGAGAAUUUAACAGUACUAAUGAAAAGCAAAAAAGAAGUACUUGACUUGCAAUCUUUGAGUAAUCCUUCUCAAUAUCUGCAGCGUCUCUACUUGAAAGGGAAUAUGAAGAAACUGCCGGAUUGGAUUGUUAAACUAAAAAAUGUAAUCAGAGUCCUUCAAGCCUUGCCUAAUUUAUUGGAACUUUUACUCAUAAGGACAUACAACUACGAGCUUUUUCACUUUGAAGCAGGUUGGUUUCCAAAACUCCAAAUAUUGAAUCUCUUUGGCUUCGUCCCUGUGAAAUCGGUUAUAAUAGAGAAAGGUGUUGCGGAAACGUGGGUUGAGCAAUUACUAAUACUGCAACUUCUGGAGAAAUAUAAAUGUGGUGAUAAACAAAUGCAAAGAAAAUAAAACACAAUAUAUUUACGUGGUUCGGCGUAAUGCCUACGUCCACGGGCAAAAACUGGAAGAUAAUUUUACUAACAAUGGAAUUUACAAAAGUGGGAAAAACUCACAAAACCCACAACCCCAAUACACCCAAAUAGAACCUCACUAGAACACUCAAGUGGAAGCUCUCUCAAAUUCUCUCAAAGAACUCACUUGCAAUUGCUCUCUACUUCUCUCAAAUUGGGAUGAUUAACAAAUGAGGAAUUGCCUUCUAUUUAUUAGGAAAAAUGGGGUGCACUAUUGCACCAACCCCAACAAAAUUGUCAACAUAAAUUAGGCACCUACCUUAUGAAUUUGUUGUCAAAUUUGCUUCUCCAAAGUUGAAUGCAUGCAGGGCAACAACUUGUCAAAUAUUUGUGCCACCAACCUCCAAUUUGUCAAGAAACAAACGUGUGAAAAUAAGCUUUGUGGGCUGACUUUUCAACAAAAGGUGCGAUGCCUGAUAUUAGAGAACUGCGGAUUGGGCCUUGCCCAUUGUUGAUGGAGAUUCCUAUUGGAAUUGAACAUCUUAAAAACCUUAAGCAACUCAGAUUUGCUAGUAUGGUUAAACAAGUUUAUUACAUGACAAAAGGCGAGAACUGGGGGAAGGUUACUGAGCAUAUACCAGAUGUCCUUGUCACUUUUGUGCAGGCCGGGCGACUGUUUUAUUAUCGAAAAGAGGAUCUCUCAUCUCUGUCUCCUGAAUAUGUCGAGCAAAUCUGCUGAAGAAGAGGACUCAAAUAGGGAGCAGUCAUGCACGUCUAUGAAAUAAGUAAAUAGGUCUGCCACUCUCCUGCGUAUUUGGAUUAUUUUCUAUUUACUUUUAAGAAAAAUUAUUUUUCUCAUUUUUAAUUUGACAGACAAUUUAAUUAUAUAUAAUUCAAAUAAAAAUUCACCAAGAAAAUUCCUUUUUCCUUGUAAUUUGAGUACGUUUAAUAAAUAAAUAAACAAAUGCAGUAGGUCAGGAAAUCUUUUUCUAGUCAAAUAUAUAGUUAGAAUCAUAUAAUGAUUAGGUAUUAAUGUUAGUAUAGUAAAUUCCGUUAUAUUUUUUGUUACCAUGAACAGAUGGAGUAUAUAUAUCUUGCUUCUAGCGAAUUCAUUGAUGAGUUCAUCGAACCUAUACUGGAUCAGAUUGUGGGGGUAAUGCUACUAUUGAUAUGCUUUGAGUUUGAGUAAUUAUUAUCAGUGUUAUCGUGUAAUACAUGCUUAUGUGAGUGGUUGCUGCUGUGAGUGUGAGUGUAUUUCUAUAUAUUUAAAUCUGAGAUUAUGAUUCUAGAAAUAUUGUAUUA
Molecule: long non-coding RNA, 54749 nt
Filed under: Citrus maxima (pomelo)
Lineage: Eukaryota; Viridiplantae; Streptophyta; Magnoliopsida; Sapindales; Rutaceae
Description: long non-coding RNA (CMAX_LNC001949)
Source: RNAcentral